ACUUGCCGCUCAUUGAGUUUGCCUAUAAUAAUAGCUACCAUUCUAGUAUCCAGAUGGCACCGUACGAGGCCUUAUAUGGGAGGAAGUGCAGGUCACCUAUUGGUUGGUUUGAUGUUGGUGAGAUUAAUUUAAUAGGCCCGGAUAUGCUUCAGCAAGCUGUUGACAAGGUGAAGCUUAUUCAAGAAAGAUAAUUAGCAGCCCAGAGUCGACAGAAGUCAUAUGCAUAUAAUCGGCUUUGAGAUUUGGAGUUUCAGAUUGGUGACUGGGUAUUCCUGAAGGUAUCACCCAUGAGGGGUGUGAUGAGAUUUGGCAAGAAGGGGAAGCUUAGUCCGAGAUACAUUGGGCCUUAUCAGAUUGUUUGUAGGAUAGGCAAGGUUGCGUAUGAGUUUGAUCUACUAUCUUAUUUGGAGAAGGUACAUCCAGUCUUCCAUGUAUCGAUACGAUGUAAAUGAAUUGGUGAUCCUUCUAGAGUAUUCCUUGUAGAUAAUGUUCAGGUAACAGAGUAGUUGUCAUAUGAGGAGAAACCCGUAGUUAUACUUGAUCACAAGGUUAGAAGGUUACGUACUAAGGAUGUGGCUUCCGUCAAAGUUUUGUGGCAAAAUAAUUAUAGGGAGGAGAGGACUUGGGAAGUGGAAGAAGAAAUGAAGAACAAGUAUCAUCACUUGUUCCCCGUACCUGCAGGUAAUUCAAUCCUAGCAUGACUAUAUUGAUUGAUAAAUGAGAUUAUGUAGUAAGUUGUAACUCUAUGAGGCAUCAGUGAGUUACGGAAUGCAGGUUCAUAGGUAUAACUGUUAGAGAGACCCCGUUGGAACCUUUUUUCGUAAGAUGCUAACUUAACAUUCGAGGAUGAAUGUUCGUAAGGGGGGAAGUAUGUUAUGCCUCAUAUUUUUAUACGUAGUGCGCGUCAUGAACUAGUAGAUGUAUGUUCGGGGAAUGAAAUUUUAGUUUAAGUUCCAAGUGAUUAAAGAAAUAUUAGGCAAGGAUGUUAAUUCCAAAUGUGUUGUUAAGUAUGAUUUUGUUAAUUUAAGUGACAUUAACUUUAAUUGAGGGAUUAAUUAGUGGCUGAUUAGGAUUAAAUUAAUCUAGUGCGACCCACCACUCAAGGCAAAUAAAAAAGGGAUCAUAUUGGGAGCUGGCCUUAAUGGGAUACGUGUAGAGGGGGGCUGCCUCCACUUCAUAUUAUAAAUGAGGUGUGAAAUGCAUUGCAACAUAUCAUAUUCUUCACCUCUUGGCUUAGGCAGCCAUGGAAAUGGAGAAAACCAACCAUGCAAUUCUUGGCCAGCAGCUGCAAAGAAUUUGGUUAGUAAUCUCUUUGCUUGGUUUGUUAAUUCCUUAGAAGGCCUUUGUUCAUUAGCCACUAAUGAUUUGAAGGGGGCGUAAAUAGUAGCUUCGGAAGUUUUUUUUAGUUAUUUAAUGUGCUAAGUAUGAACGGAAACCAUAAUCGGAUUAUUAGUGGUGUCGUGUUGGUGCUUGGGCUGUUUUGAUUAAAGCAAACUGCGGGAAAAUUUUGUUUUGGCGAUAUGUAUAAGUUAAAUGUGAUUAUGGGUAUAUACUCCAAAGGAUGAAUAUGAUAAGGUAGAUGUGUUGCAAAUUAUUAAACGAGUUACCGAUCGGUGUGUCGUUGCUUCGUUACUAUGGUUGCCAAGACAGAACUAUUUUGGGGGAGGGGGCUGUUUAAUAUGAUUCGUUGGGUUAUAUGUGUUAUUGGUAUUGCUGUGGAUAAUUUGGGUUGUUGUCGGAUUGGGACGAAGUAAGGAAAAUAGGGGAAGUGCUGCCGGAUUUUUGUUAGAUUAUUGGCUAGAUUACAAUAAGUAGUUAAGCGUGUCGUUUAUCUAAUUGCGGCACGAUUGUUCCUUGUUAUUGAUUAAUAGCUUGAGCAGUAAAUAUUUGACGUGCGGCUCGACUAUACGAUAUGUAACGCUACCCCUUCUUUCUUUGUUUGGCAUGACUUUUAAAAAUGAGCGAAUAACGGACAGGUUUUAUACUUACUUCUAGAGCGACUAUGUGACGUAUAUUCAUGCUUCCACAGCUAUUCCUCUAUAUAUCGGCUAUGUCUAAGUCUUAAUGAAUUCUCAUAUCUAUUGUAGUACUUCUUAGAAUCAUUGAGAUUUUAUGUUUCCAUAGCGUAUUUAACGUUUAUAAUCUUGAUAAAAUGUUAAUCAUUGGUAAUACUCCUUGCUGGUCACGUUGAUUGUUCUAUAGUGUUAUAUGAAAUGAUUUUAAUUCCAUAUGAUUGCUCAUAAUAUUCUGCUCUUGCAUAGAGUCAUUUAUCAUUCACCGAGUCCGAGGCCGGGUAAUGUUCGUGCGGAGUUUCUUGCAUAUGUCACUGAGUCCCCCACUAAAGGGACGGGUAUGUAUAUUAUAUAUAUGAUUGGUGAUGAGGAUUGUUAUGAUGAUGAUGAUGACGAAUAUUAUGUGAUGAUUAUUUUGCCGAACCCCUUACUAGGGAAGCUGGGCACCUUAUGUGUUAAAGAUAUGCAUGAUUUUCACUUAAAAGGGCACAUGUGUAGCGAUAUUUUGUUUCGACUUACCAUGUUGGUAUCCUUUCAUCUUUACCUUAUGCUUUACAUACUCAGUACAUUGUCUGUACUGACCCCCCCCUUUCCUUGGGGGGAUGAGUUUCAUGCCCGAAGGUGUAGACACACGGUUCGGUGAUCCUCCCGCCUAGGAUAUCUACUUAGAUGAAUUGGAGAGCUCCACUAUUCCGGAGCCUAGUCGUUUUGGUACAUAACUUUUUGUGUAGCCUUUUGCCUGUCUAUGGGUAUGGUGGGGCCCUGUCAUGUCGAGUUUUACUACUAUAGUCUUAGAGGUCUGUAAUCAUUAUGUUGGUUGUAUAUAUAUAUGUUUUGGAUAAUGGACUGGACAUGGUUUUUUUGGGAUGUCUACUCGUACAGGGGAAGCCUUGUCGACUGCGUACAUCAUUGUGUAUUGUGUAGUGGCAGCCUUGUUGGCUUGUGUAUGCUAUUAUGCAUUAGAUAGUGGCAGCCUUGCCAGCUCGCGUAUGUUGUUACGGUUGAAUUGUUAUGACUCCUUAUGAGACAUGUCCUAUAUAUAUAUAUAUAUAUAUAUAUAUAUAUAUAUAUGGCGUUGGGGUUGUUAGGAUUUGAUUAAAUUGCAUAUAGUGAUAGUUUCAGUUGGUUAUACUUAGCAUGUUUGUAUUUGAGUGUCAAAAACGGGCACUAGUCACGGCCCAUCGGGUUGGGUCGCGACAAUUAAGGGUUUAGGGUUAGGUUUAAGGAUAGCAUUAGAGUUAGAGUUCGUUUUGGGGAUACAGUUACUGUUACUGUUUAGGGUUAUUUUAGGUUUCUAGGUUUCAGAUUUGAGGUUUAAUAUCAAUGGCUUAGUGUUUAAUGUUUGUGUUUUUGUAUUUUGGGCUUUGGGUUUUGAAUUUAUGCUAGGGUUAGGGUUAAGAUUAGGGGUAGGGCUUAGGUUUUGUUAGGUUUUAGGGCGUGUGGUUUAGGAUUUAAGUUGUAAUAUCUAUGGUUUAGUGUUUAACGUUAGGGUUUUUGUAUUUUUGGAUUUGUAUUUAGGGUUUAUGGCUUAUGGUUAGGGUUAAGGUUAGGGUAAGGGUUAGGGAUAGGGUUAGAGAUAUUAUUUAGGGUUUUUUUAGGUUUUAGGCUUUGGGGUUUAGGAUUUUUGGUUUAAAAUCUACGAUUUAGUGUUUAAUGUUUGGGUUUUCGUAUUUCGACUUAGUUUUUUUUUAGACAUUUUUUUGGGACUUAGGUUUAUGAUUUAGGGUUUAGGAUUAUAGUUAAGGUUAGGAUGCACGUUAGGGUGUAGGUUUUUUUUAGGUUUUAUGGUUCAGUGUUAAGAAUUUGAGGUUUAAAAGCUAUGAUUUAGUAUUUAAUGUUUGGGUUUUGGUAUUCUGGGCGUUUUUUUAAUUUUAUUUUUAUUACACUUGGGGGGGGGGGGUAAAGGGCUGUGCAACACCCCCAGGCCUUAACAUUAAUAAGCAAACAAAAUACAAGGAGGGUGGCUCAAACCUUACCUUCGGUCCUAUGGUUGUUCAUAGUAUACUUUCCAAGGAAAGCAGUCUUAUCCCCUAAAACAAUGACCAACAAUCUAAGCACCUAAAAGGGAGGACUCCUCUCGAUACAAAGAUUCUAGGAAUUUAAACAAGGGAUACUCUCCGUUUACCUUUUAAAUCACACAAAAUAACUAUCUAACCUAUUCAAAGAAGCUAUAAAUUUAAAUCAUAGAUAAGUUGAAAAGGUGAUACAUAGUCUAGGGAGGUUCUUUGAACUUUUUGCUCUUCUUCCUUCUAAAACUUGGCAUUCCCUGUAUAUCUAGCUGAUAAUAGGUGUUUUCUUCUUUAGGUAACUUUUGACUGUUGUUUUAGAGUUGUGGACUAGUGAGAUUGUGUCUGUGUUUGGACAAGUAGUCAACAACCAAGUUUCCCUCCCUAAAGAUAUGUAUGCAUUUGAAUUCCUUUGCCUGGAAGAUAAGUAUUUGCAACCUUUCCAUCUGUAUACAAAUACGCCAUUGUGGUGUUGAUUUUUUCAUAAUCAGAUUCACAAUUAACAGUAAGUCCACUUUUAGAAUGAUUUUCCUAUAUCCUAGUUCCAAUGCCCAAGUCAUUCCAAAGAUGGUUGCACCUAUUUCCGUUUGAUCGUUUGAUCCUUCUCUAAGGGGAGAUGUAAAAGCAAUUAAUAAUUUUCCUGUAUGAUCUCCCAAUAUACCACCUGCCCCAAUCUUGCCUGGGUUUCUUGAUGCACUUCCAUCAAUGUUGAUCUUGAUCCAUUGGUCAGGUGGUCUUGUCCAUGCUACCAUUUGUACCUUUAUGACAUGCUUACACCUUUUUGCUAGAUGAAUGAUUCCUUUCCAUGUAGAAGGACAAUUAUUCUUGAAAUGAGCAGUUAUGAGUCUAUAAUUGUCAUUAUAUAUUGCAUACCUUACUCUUCUACUAUUGGAUGUUUUGCCUCUAUAUUACUACUAGAAUAUCUAUUCUUCAAGAGGUUCCGGUAGAUGAGAAUAUGGGUGACCUAUAAAAUGAGUUUAUGAGCUUCAGUUUUGUGUUUCAUUGUCCACUACUAUAAAAUUAAUUGUUGAAGAUAAAUGUGAUCAAUUUUAACUCCAGCCAUAGUUGCAAAGCUUCUCAAAACUUCUUCUACUAGUGCUUCAGUGCUAAAAAUUUGAUUGAUUUUGUCUGUACCUGACCUAUAACAAAAACAGAAGCAAAUUUUUGGCUCAAUGCCAAAAGUUGUUAGCCUUUAAUUAGUAGGUAUUUUGACUUUUAAUUCUGUCCAUAAUAAAAAAGAAUCUUUGAAAGGAAUGUGUUUAUUCCAAAUGAUGGAAUUGAUUUGAGAGUUAAAUCUUUUUUCCUUGUUUUUAUUCCAUGCUGAAAAGAAACUAAACUGCAUGUUGGAGUGGAGUUUCCAGUAAGCUUGGUCUGGGAAUUGUUGAUGUGGAGGAACUGUUGUGCGAGGAUGUUUACCCAUUGAAAUGGAGGAGCCUGUUGAAUUAAUAUAUGAUAGUUCCAUUUCCCUUCCAUCCAGAAGUCUGCCACUUUGCGAAAAUCAAACCUUUGAAUGUUAGUAGAGAAUUGAGCAAGUCGUCCUUGCCCUAACAAGUUAUCCCACCAAAAGGAACAGGUUCUAGAGUUUAGUUUCCAUUGAAUUGGUUGCUCAAUUUGGUUUUUCUUGUGCAACAUAUGCUUCCAGCUCAAAGAAUCACCAUAAUCCCAUUUCUUACAAAUGGCAUUGGAUCUUUGGCAACACUUGGAUUUUAGAAAUUCACCCUAUAAGGUGUGUUUAGUCUUAAGAUCCACCAUUUCUUAUAUUCAAAGGAUAAAUAUACAUCUUUAAGGUUUCUCAUUCCAACCCCUGCUUCCUCAUUAGGUUAGCUUAAGUUCCUCCAUGAUGCCCAGUUAUAUUUUCUCUUUUCGCUCUUCCAUCCCCAGAAAAAAAUAUGCCAUAAGUAUCUGAAUCUCUUUAAGCACUAUGAAAGGAGGAGUUAUAGCUGAAAGUAAGUGAAGUGGGAAAGCUUGUAACACAUGCUUAAUAAAAACUGCCCUUCUUUAAUAUUCCUGAAAAUGUACAUGACUAGUGAAGAGCAUAGUAAAUUUUUUAAUGAAUGUGUAUUGGGGUCAAUAGGCAUCUCAAUGCCCAAUAAUGAGAAAUAUUUGGCAUAUUAUAGAAUAUUGGCUUAAGGGUGUUAGCCAAUUUGUAUGUAUACACAGGAAUUUAAAAUGUAAUCCAAGCUUGUUUAAGAAUUGUGCCAGCAAUAAUGACCAUAAGCUAAAAUUAUUGAUUCUCAACUUAACACAUUAUGUACUAGGCAUCCAAGUGUCAAACUUAGGUACCAUUGCACAUGACCAAUUAAAAUGAUCAUGUAGAUUAAGCGGUGCCCAAGGACAAACUGAGGAUCCUUGGGACAAAAAGUAAAUAGUCCAAAUGAACCUUCAAGAAUAGUUAGUUGGGAAAGUACACGAAACACAUGUGAAACUGGCCAAGAGACAAGCUAAUCGAUUCGGUUAGAGCAGUUCGGGACAGGCGCGCGUCUGGGUCAGCCCAUGUGGGGCCAAUCUGCCUAACAGGUCCUAGACUCCAACUGACCUAGAUAACUAACUAACCUAGGAAAAACCAAAAGAAACUAACUAAGGGACCCGAAAACCUAAGACCUAAUCAGGUCAAAUUAAGACAAGUAACCAACUAAGAAAAAUCGUAGUACCUAACCUAGGAUGAUCCAAAAGAGUUUCUUAUGGUCCUAAUGACUUAGGUGUACUUUAGUUAUUACCCUCGAUCAGUUAAUUAAUUAAAUUAGAAAAUCAAUCAAUUAAUUAAAAAUCAAAAUCUAGCCGAAACACUUCGAAAAUUUCUAGAUUUGGCGAAGUUCACUUAGAAAAUUUCUAGAUUUGGCUAAGUCAAAUGUUCUCUUUUUUUAGUCAAUUUAUGAGGGGCAUUUUGGUAAUUAGCUAAUUGAUUUAUUUAAUUAACUCAAUUAAGCUAAGUUUAAUUAGUCAAUAUUUGUUCCUAAGACUUAGACUUAUGUUCAAUCACAAGAAAACUCACGACUCAAAACAGUAAGCAAUCGUAAGUAAAAUAGGAAAUUCGCCUUAGGCGAUUUCAAGGCUAUUCUUCAAGGUUUUCGUGCAAAGUGCAAGGUGAUCUUCGUAGAUUACAAUAAGGUAUGAGUUUUCUCUUGGUUUCCUUUCCCCUAUAGGCUUUUCAAAUGUUUUGAAUUCAAGAGAUCUGAAACUAGGGUUGUUCCCAAUGAAAUUUUUGAAUGUUCAUCUCCCUAAUUUACCCUAUUUUUGACUUUCAGUAUUAUGUUUAAUGAAAAAUCUCGAGCAUGUUGUUGGUAUGUGGUGCUAACUAAUCAUUAUGUGUAAGUUUUUAUGAUUUAAUAAUGUCGAAUGAUACCUAUAGGUUAGAUCCGUAUGAUUGAUGCAAAAUUGUGUUCGAAAUGAUUAAAUUGUUAUAAGUCAUUUAUAAAAUUCAAUUUACUGUUGAAAAGGGACGAAGGUUUCGAAUUACUCUUUGUGUUUACAGCAGAUAUGUUUGUAAGUGGUUGGAAUGCAAUGUUUCCAAGUAGAAAUAAGACGUGAAUCAAAGCUAAUUAAUGGAUCUUCAAUGUCAAAUCAACUUUAUUGCUUGACCAAAUUAAGUAUUGAAUUAUUCCUUCGAUUAAAAGUUUGUUUGCUUAAAAUGAUGAGAUUAGUAUAGUAUAUACAUAAUUUUAAUUGGCUUGGCUAGUGAUAAUAUCAUAGUUUAAUUUGUUCCAAUAAAUUGGCUUACAAUGUUAUUUCCAAAAUAUGAUAUAAAAAGUGUCUAAUUACUACGUUAUACCAAAUUAAGCAUGACCAAUGUAACUCAAUGAAUUCAUAACCAAGGGUAUGCCAAUCAUUGGGAAAAGUCCCAACAUACCCUAUCCAAAUGAACUAUGAAUAUAGUAGUACAUUUAAUAAGUUUAUAACUUUUGAUAAAGAUGAUAAAAGUCUACCAAAUGACAUUGAGCAAGAUAAUGUGAGUAAUUACAUAACUAAAAGCUUAUUAGUUAUGAAAUUGACAAGAAUGGGGGUUAAAGGAAGUGGGACAAGUCUCACUUGCACCUAAACAAUUAUGUUAAAGAUAAUCACAUAAGAUGGUGUUAGAAAUCGUGAGACAAGUCUCAUUAACACCAUGAUGAUAAUGUAAGGUUUAAGUUCACAUUCAUCAAGUAAAGAAAGGCAUGAAAAGUCAUCCAUUGAGUUAAGCUUACCUCAUAUUAGGAGCACGCUUCCAUGAUGUAUAAGUCAACUCUAAAAGUUAAAAAUUAUAAGAAAUUUGAGAAAAGCACCGAUAGACUAGCAAUGAGCUUGUGCAAGCACAUCUAAGCCUCAUGAUAUGAGAGGACCCCAAAGGUUUAUAAGUAUUCUCCGAAAUCUCCUAGUCUUUGAACUAUGAUUCCGACAUAGGAACUAACUCGUGGAUUCCACCUAAUAGAGAUAGGUAGUAUUCAGUUUCACUUUGGCUGGUGAACCACCGCUUUUUAGUGUGGGGCAGACACUGGAUUUCAUCUUUAGCUCACAUUAUCUAUGUCGAUUAAUGCUCAAAGAAAUUAUUCGAUUUCACAUUAGCCGUUAACCACCUCUUUUAAGUAUGGGGAAGACAUUGGACUUUGUUUCACUUUAGCCGGUGAAUCACCCCUUUUAGUUGUGGGGAAUACACGUGAUUUCAAUUUAACUCACAUGAUCUAGGUUUACUUUGAUUGGUGAACCACCCCUUUUCGGUGUGGGGCAGACACUGGAUUUCAUGUUAGCUCACAUGAUCUACCUCCGUUAAUGCUAAAGAAUUCUUUAAAGAAAGUAAGAAAGAAAUAAAAGUAGCAUCUUCACAGUGAAUAAUAGAUCAAAGAAGUAGAAACAUAAGUUCAAAGUGAGCUAAGUAAGCAAAAGCUUAAGAAUGUCAAUCACCAGCGUUUGACAAGAAUAAAGUCUUAAAAAGUUAUUGGUUAUUGUAAUAUUGGAGUGUGGAUAUAUGCCUCAACGAUUCAUUUAUUAGGUUAACAACCAAUUAAUGGGCAUAACCAAUAAAGAUUGGCUUAUAAAUACAUUCAGGUCAAAUUUAAUAAGAAUGGAAAAUAUACCUUGUAAGUAGGGUAGCCAAAUCAUUUCCUUAGUCUUUUGGAUCACUUACUCGAUUCAUAUUAUGUAUAGGACUACGAUGAAUCAUUGCACUUAUAAGUAAAAUGUAAGAUCAAAGGAUAUUAUUGAACUACACAAAUGAGAGAAGAAAAAGACUGAAAAAUAAACUAAGUCUGGAGGGAAGAGCUCUCAGCCUAAGGGAGCAAAUUUCUUAAGUUUUGUUCAAGUUGUUCUAAAAUUAUGUUCAUGAUUCCAAAGUCUUAACGAUGUCGGUCUCAUCUGGGGUCUACAUUCCCGGUGUGAAAUCUUCCUCAUAGCUUAGUUGCUUUGUCUGCCACCCAGUAAUCCUGCAAAUCAUCUUAUUGACAAAGUCAGAAAAAUAAAUUAUCCUAGGUCUACCAACAAAGAGAUGGCACCCAAGAUAAGUAAGAGGUCCCUGUUUCUUUUUGAAACCUGUGAUUCAUUUAAUUCUGUCCUUUAUACUGUUAAAGACAUUCAGAUGCGCCAUCAAUUGGUUUUUAUCACUAUUGAUCAGCUGGUCAGAUGUUUUCUCAUAAUUCUUGAGAGUUUGCACGACGAGUUGGAGAGUUUUGGCUCUUCUAGAAUAGAACAGAAUUGUGUCAUCUACUACGCUCAAAUGAUUCACCUGGGGGCCUCUCACUUCCUUGAAGAAACCAUGAUAUUCUGGAUGAUUAUCCAACCUAUUUAAAGAGCGGUAGAGCAGCUCUGCACCUAAAAUAAUUAGGGCAAAGAAAAUGCGACCACCUUGUAUAAGGCCUCUAGUAAAUUCGAAAAAUCCAAUCUCCUCCCAUUAAUAAGGAUGGAAUACCAGUACUAGCCAUAACUCUCUACAACAUAUCAAUGAAGACCUCAUUAAAUCCCAUCUUCCAUAAUAGCAGACAAAUCUAGGCUCAAGAGACUGUGUCAUAAGCCUUUUUCAUAUCUAGAUUCAUAAUGCAUUACUACCAAUAUUAGGCUUUUUGAUUUUAUGUAUAAUUUCCUGAGCCAGCAUGAUGUUUUUAGAGACACUUCUACCCUUCACAAACCCUAUUUAAUUGAGAGAAAUAAAAUUAGGAAGAAUAGGACUCAAUCUUUUGCUCAAGAGUUUGGAGAUGAUUUUACUAAUGAAAUUUCUAAGGCUAAUAGGCGUGAACUCCUUCAUUUUGUUGGGGUUAAUCAUCUUUGGUAGAAGCAAAUGCAGGAAUGUGAAAAAUAUUUAGGAAUGACUUGGGUACUGAAGAAAACCCAAAAUCACUCCCAUAAGGUCAUGAUUGAUGAUGCGCCAACAUUUCAAAAAGAAAUACUCAUUCAUUCCAUUCGACCCUGCUGCAGACAUGGGGUUUAUGGAGAAGACCACUUCUCUCAGUUCCUCCAUGUUAGGAAUGUUGAUGAGUGUGUCAUAUUGUUCCGACCAUUCUAGGGAUACAGUCUAAAGAAUCUUCAUUGAUAAUUUUGUCUGCUCCUGUAAACAUUUGUUGAAAGUAUUCAUAGGUAGCCUUACCAAUACUAUAUUCUCCCUACAACCAUUCCCCAUUCUCAUGAAUUUUGUGAAUAUUUUCUCCUUCUUCCCCUUAUCAGAGAUUGGAAGAAUUUAAAGUUUGUGUCUCCCUCCUUGAACAUUGCAACUGAGAUUUCUAUUUCAUAAUUUAGUCUUCCGGAUUGAGAUAUCGAAUGUACUUAACACUAAGAUCAUCAAGUGCCUCCCCAUUCUCUCUUAGACCAUGAACUUAAGAGUAUUAGAUAAUCUUUUCAGCUUUUGAUGGAAUCUCCAUAUUGUAUUUCCUUCCAUUUCCCUCUCCCAGCAAGUUUUCACAAUCUACAGGAAGUGAGGGCUGUCUACUGAGCAGUUAAGAAAUCUGAAAUAUUUAAUGUGGACCUCCUCUUUGUUGACUAUCUCCAUUAAUAAUGGAUAAUAAUCUAAGUCAGUAGAACAUAAAUAAGUAAUGGUGAUUUGGGGUAUCAGGUAAACUCAUAUAUCAUUAAUAAGGGCCCUGUCAAGGCUUUUCCAUAAUCUAUGGUUGAUAACACACUUGUUGGACAAAGUAUAUUUUUGACCACUAAAUUUGAUAUUCAUUAGCCCACAAGCCUCAAUAAUAACUAUGAAAUCCAUGCUCUUUAAAAUGUUGUAAGGUAUCCCUCCCAACUUCUCAUUUGUAGUUGUUAUUACAUUAUAAUCUAUCAGUAAAAUACUAAGCCUUGUCCACCCCCUCAGCCUAUUAAAGUAUUUUAUCCAUAAAGGAUAUUUCAGAUGUUCUUUACAUUUGGCAUAGACAAAGGUAAUGGUGAAUUGAUUUUAACUCAUUAUGAUUAAAGUCACAAGUAAUUUGUUGCUCUUCGUUAUCCCUCACAUUACAGCCAAUAUCACCAUCCCAAAAAAGCAAAUUUAUACCACUACAGUUGCUCACAUAAUUAUCCAUGGCUAAUUGAAUUUUGAGGUUCAUCACAUUAACUCUGUCUCCAAAGGGCUCCAGAAUAGCAAUGAUAGAUAGUUGAUGCAUUUUCUUGAGCAUUUUAUGUAUUUCCAUAUAUCCCUGUUUAAUGAACCCGCUCACAUUCAGUAUAAUUGUAUUAAUCAUUGAGAUGCUCUAGAGGAGAAUAGUUUGGAAUCUGGUCUGCCAGCUAUAAUAGUUUUAACAUCCUUAUUCUAGAAAUGAAACUUGUCAUGUAGCAGCCUUCUUUGAGAUAGACCUUUAUUUUGAGUUACUUGUUGAUCCUCCUCUUUAAGUGCCUGAUCAUUCUGAGGAAUGAAAGCUCUUAUUAAAGCUUCACUAAUAUCAUUAACAUCGUUAGCGUCCUGAACAAACUAAUUAUCUCUGUCAACCUCAUCUUCAAAAUUUUCCAGUUCAUACUCAUCUAUAAGUGGUAUAGUAUUAACUUUACAAUAGAUUUGCUCUUUAUCUGGAGGGGACCUUGGAGGUGGUUUCUUAUUUUUAGUCUGUAAAUAAGGGUUAUCCAUUCCCUGCUGAUUACUUACCAUCAAGAAUUUUUUUCAUGGUUCCUCCUUCCUUUCAUGUUCUCUGAGCUGCAUCUCUUUUUUGAUUGCUUGACUUGUUUUUCUCUUGGGGGUAUUUUCAGAUUUUCUAUUGGUUGAAUUAUUCCCCUUCUCCUUAUCUUUGGUACCCUUGUUUUAUUUUUCACUGUAACCAUAUUCCUUUUUCUAUUUUUUCUUGUUUCCUGCAUUAGUAACUUGCUUGUUUUCUUCCAUCUUCUGUGUAUUCGGUGCCAUCUUCUAUUUCCCAACUUGUUGUUUAUUUUUUAUGUUAACCUGGGCUCUAAGGUUAGGGUUUUGGUCUGUGUAAGCCCCCUCAUGCACAACAUGAUGCAAUUUCCCCACCUUUUGUCACCCCUUCCUGCAUGUUAGUAGGGUUCUCCUGACUUUCCCCAUCCUUCCCUCCUUUAGCUACACCAAUCAUAACCUCAUUCAAAUGCUUAUUAUUGGAGUUAAAUUUUAUAGCUAUUAUACCUAACUUGUUGUUCUUUUCUUCAUUUUUUUGAAACUUUCGUUAUUGAUUUGGACUGCUUCCUUGUUCCAACCGGUUGUAAAUUUCUUGAGUUGUGUUUACCUUUUGAUUUGCUUCCUCUCCUGUUUCAUUAUUUUAUGCCUGCAUAGCUAGAUUAGUAAAUAUGUUAUUUUGAGGAUUAAUACUCAUAACUGCUUGUUGUACAUGCAACUUUGGUUUUCUCUUGCUGCCUGGCUGGUUGUUAUUGUAGGUCCCCAGAUUGUCUUUUUACCAACCUCCUCUUGAUGUUUUUUAUUUUUCUUUCUAUGAGUGUUCCAUUCAUCCUCCUUUUGUUGAAUAAAUUGUUUUUGUUUAACACUUUCAUUAUAUAGUGACCUUGGUGUCUGCAGUACUAACAGUAAGGAGGAAUGUUUUCAUAUUCCACAGGUGUCCAUGUACCUAUGGUAUAAUCUUCAUUAUGUAACAGAAUCCACACAUGUCUAGGCCUAGGUUUGGUCAAAUCAAUUUGCAUCAUUACCUUAUCCAUCGCUUCUCUAGAUCUUUUGAUAGAUGUUGUAUCCAAGUAUAAGACCUUGUCUACAGAUUCCAAUAACAGAGUGCGAAAAGGUUUUUUGAAACAAUGAUAGGGCAAGCCUGGCAAUAAAAUCCAAACAGGGACAAUAGGUGUCUCCUCUUCCGGAGUAAAGAUAGGUGUACAAGAUUGAUCCUCAUAAGUUUACCCUCAAUGGUCGUUCUUUAUUGUAUCAACAUUGUGUUGUAAUCUAGUUCAUUUUGAAGGUCAAUAAAUAAAUGUUUAGCAUUAUAAUAAGCAAUGUUGACCCCCCUACACACACACUAAGUUAAGUCUGUCGAAUGAAGCUUUUUCUAAUGAGCUCAAAUUUAGGUAUUGUAGUACUAAACUUCCUUACCAAUGUCUAUUUACAGUCCACAGUAAGAGUGCAUAUAGUCAUGCAUAUAAAAUAUCACCGCUGGUUGCCCUUGUUUAGUGGUUUGUCUGGGAGUGGUUUUUAACACAAUAUUUGGACUCUAAGCUGAAUGGAUGUGUCUCACUCAAGCAGCCAAAGUUUGGACCACUGUAUAAGAAGGUGGUUUAGAGACAUGUUCCUAAAUUGUUUGUAGGAAGAACUUUAGGUGUGGUGGAUUCAAUUGGUGUAGGAGUGGGAGCAUUUUGGUCUUUGGGUUUAGGGUUUAUGGUAGGGUUAGGGUUAGGGUUAGGACUAGGGUUUAGGUUGUUUUUCAGGUUUUAGGGUUUGGGGUUUACAAUUUGAGUUGUAAUAUCAAUGGUUUAGUGUUUAAUGUUUGGGUUUUCGUAUUUUAAAGAUUUGAGUUGUAUAAUCUUUGGUUUAGUGUUUAAUGUUAGGGUUUUGGUAUUUUGGGAUUUGGGUUUAGGGUGUAGGGAUUAGGGUUAGGGUUAAGUAUAGGGUAAGGUUAGGGUUCAUUUUAGGGAUUGGGCUAGGGUUAGGGUUUAGGGUUUUUUUUAAGGCUUUAGGUUCUGGGGUUUAGGAUUUUUUGUUUGAAAUCAAUUGUUUACGAUUUUUGUUUGAAAUCAAUGGUUUAGGAUUUCCAGCUUGAUGUUUCCAUUGGAUGUGUUGCUCCACUUGUUGUUUGUUCAUCAGCGUAUAAUUCCAAAUUAAAGAGACUCCAGUAUCCCAAUUUUUGCUGACAAGGUCGGACCUUUGACAAUAUUUUACUCUCUAAAGUUCUCCCCACAAGGUUUGUUUGGUUCUAAAAUCCACCAUUGUUUGAAUUGGAAGGCCUUUCAAAUAUCUUUUAGGUCUCUCAUUCCCACUCCUCCCUCAUCAUAAGGGAAGCUUAGGUUUUUCCAAGAAUCCCAAUGGUACCUCUUCCUAUUACUUUUCCAUCCCCAGAAGAAGUCAGCCAUAAGCAUUUGAAUUUGUUUAAGAACGGUUGGUGGAGGAGUUAAUGCAAAAAGUAGGUGAAUAGGGAUGGCCUGUAACACAUGUUUUGUAAGAAUUGACUUUCUACCAUAGCUGAGUUGUUUGGUUUGACAACCUGUAAUCGUGCCAAAAACAUUAUUAACAAGGUCAGAAAAAUAUACAUUCCCAGGCCUGCCAACAAAUAAGGGGCAACCUAAGUAAGUAAUAGUACCUUGCUUUUGUUUGAAACCUGUAAGCCUCUUUAUUCUAUCUCUUGGUCUAUUAAAAUAAUUAGAGUGUAGCAUAAAGUGACUUUUGUAUCCAUUGAUAAGUUGUCCUUAAGUAUUUUCAUACUCCUUUAAGGUAGUCAUUAAGAUCUUCAAUGUUUUGCAUCUUCUGAGUUGAACAAAAUUAUGUCAUCAGCAAAACUGAGAUGGUUUACUUGUGGACCCCUCAUUUAUAUGAAUAAACCAUCGUAGUCUUGUUGAUUGUGUGUCCUGUUAAGAAAUCUUGAUAAUACCUCUGCACCUAAAAUAAAUAGGGCCUGGGAAAGAGGAUCACCUUGCUUGAGACCUCUAGUGGAAUGAAAUGAAACUGUAUCUCUUAAAAUUAACAAUGAUUGAGUACUAAUUGUUUUCCAUGAUUCUCCACACCAUUUCAAUAAAUACCUUAGCAAAUCCCAUUUUCCUUCAAACCAGGCAAAUAUAUGACCAAGAAACCUGUCAUAAGCUUUUACCAUGUCUAGCUUAAUGAUGACAUUGCUAUCAAUAUUGAGUUUUUUAUUUGGUGGAUUAUUUCCUAAUCUAGCAUGAUCUUCUCAGAAUUACUUCUACCUUUAAAAACUAGGAUUUGUUAGGAGAGAUUAAUGUAGGGAGGAUAGGACUAAGUCUGUUUCUCAUUAGGUUAGAUAUGGUCUUGCUAGUGAAGUUGCUCAAACUUAUAGUCCUAUACUCAGUAAUCUUGUUUGGAUUAUUAAAUUUAGGGAGCAGCACAAUACAAGAAUGGGAGAAGUAUUUAGAAAUCAUCUGUCCAUUGAAAAAGGCAUGUACAACCCUUAUUAGAUCAUUUUUGAUAAUAUGCCAAAACUUUUGAAAAAAGUACCUAUUCAUACCAUCAAGGCCAACUACAGAAUUAGGAUUCAUAGAAAAAACCACAUCUUUAAGUUUAUCCAUACUAGGAAUAUUGGUAAGCAAAGUAUUUUGGUCUUGACUAAUCAUCCUUGGAAUGCAUUCAAAAGUAUGCUCAUUGAUAAGCUUUUCUUCACUGUUAAAGAUUUCUUUGAAGUGUUCACAAGCUACCUGAGAAAUGUUGUCAUCACCUUGUAUCCAAUUUCAAUUUUACUUGACAACUUUAUGAACAAGUUAUUUCCUUCUUCUUCCCCUUAUCACAUAAUGGGAGUAUUUAGAGUUAGUAUUACCCUCUUUAAACCAUUGAAGCUGGCUUUUUCGUUUCAAAAUAGUUUCUUCAAACUUGAAAUACUUGAUGUACUUUGCAUUAAUUUCUUGAAGGAUACUUCUAUUUGAGUCACUUUGGUUAGAGGUGUAGUUUUCUUUAGCGUUGUGCACUUGUUCCUCAUAAUUCCUAACCUUUUGGAAAAUAUCACCAAAUUCAUUCUUAGACCAAACACUAAGAGUGUGUUACGUAUGAAGGAAAACAUUUUCUGGAAAAUGUUUUUCAAUUUUCUCAUGUUUUGUUGGAGCAAAAGUUUUGGAAAAUGUUUUCCAAAUCAACUCAUUUUCCUCAAAAUUAGGAAAAUGACUUCCCUUCAAAAAUAAAGGAAAACAUUUUCCAAAACUCUCCUCCAAUAUCAAAUUACUUUUUUUUUUUAGGAAAACAUCAAUUUUAAAAAAAUAUUUUCAAUUUCAAAAUUAUAUUUUUUCACCCGAUCUAUGAUCACCCCCCUGCUCCCCUCCCCCAACACCACCCCCUUCCCAAAAAAUUAAUUUUGAUUUUUAAAGAUAUUUUCAACUUCAAAAAUUUAUUUUUAAGCUCCUACCCCCCUCCUCCCCCGGCCAGCCUCACUACCCACCCCUACCAGCCCCCUCACCCCAACCCCCACUCUCCCAAAAAAUUAAUUUUAUUUUUUUAAAAUACUAUCAACUUUAAAUUUUUAUUUUAUCACUCCUACCCCCUCCCUCUGCCCCCCCUACUACCCCACCCCCCAUCACCACUACCCAAAAAAAAUUAUUUUUAAAAAUUAUUUUCAAUUUCAUAAAAUAUUUUGUAUUCUGAUAAAAAUAAAAGAUAUUCCUCAAAAAUAUUUUUCAUUUAUAAAUAAAACACAAAAUCAUUUUCGGAAUAUAUUUUCUACUCACCAACCAAAAAUGAGAAAACAAGUUCAAAAUCUACUUGUUUUCCAAGAAAACAUUUUCCAUGGAAAACAUUUUCCUUCAUACCAAACACACCCUAAGAGUGUUUACCAACAUUUUCAUUUUUUGGUUAAAUCUCCACAUACCAGUACCAGCCACUUCCUUCUCCUAGCAGGUUAUAACAGUUUUUAUUAAAUGAGGGUUUUCAACCCAACAAUUGAGAAAUCUGAAGUAGUUGAUGCGAUCUAUUGUUGUGAAAACCAUUUCAAUAAGAAGAGGACAAUGAUCAAACCCAGUAGUUAACAAGUGAGUUAUAGUUGUUUUAGGUAUAUUUUCCAACCAUGAAUCAUUUACCAUAGCCUAUCAAGCCUCUUCCAAAUUAUGUGAUUGAUACCCCUCUUGUUGGACCAAGUGAAUUAGGACCCCUAAAGCCAAUGUCCAAGAGGACAAAAGCUUCAAUAACAACUAUAAUAUCCAUACUUUUCCUCAUGUUAUAAGGCAACCCUCCAUGUUUUUCCUCCAUAGAAGUUAUAACAUUGAAAUCACCUAUAGUAGACCAAGGGUUGUCAUUCGAUGAGGCUUGCAGUAGUAUUUUGUCCCAAAGAGGUCUCUUGAGGUGAUCUUUACAUUUAGCAUAAACAAAUGUACUUGUAAAUUGGUAUUGUAAUUAAUUGUGUUUGAUGUUGCAAGUGAUUUGUUGUUCAUCUUCAUCAAGAUAUUACAGUUAAUAUCAGUGCUCCAAAAAGCCCAAAAUUUUACCAUUACAAUUACUAGUAGCAUUUUCCAUGUUUAAUUUGACCUUAAAGCUUUAAACAUGCACACUAUAAGAGAAAGGUUCCAAAAUAGUGAUAACAGAUAAAUGGUGAAGCUUCCUGAGCAUCUGGAGUCUCUCCAACACCCCUUGAGUGUUGAUACCUCUCACAUUCCAUAUGAUUGUACUAAUAAUUGGGAAGAUCUAGAGGAAAGGAGCCUAGUAUUAGGUCUUCCAGCAGUGAUAGUAUUGACAUCUUGUUUCUUAAAGUGAUAUUUAUCAAGGUGGAAACCCCUUGGAGAAACACAUUGACUUUGUGUAACUUUUUAGAUCUCUUCCUCUAGGGCCUCUGAUCAUUAUGAGGACUAAAGGCCUUAAUAAGGGCAUCACUAGUCUCAUCAUCCUCAUCAAACUCUUCUAAGGAGUGAGUAUCCCCAUAAAUUUCAUCUUCAGAAUUAUCCACAUUAUAUUCAUCUAUAGUAGGCACCUUAUUCAGCUUACAUGUUUGUUGUCUCUUGUCUAGGGGUUCAGAUGAUAGUGGAGUCAUAUAUUGAGCCUGAAGAGGGAGGAUAUCCAAUCCAUGAUUAUCAUAAAUCAUAAUAAAUUUGUUGCAUGAUUCCUUCCUCUUUUCCUGUCCCUGUUCACUGUCAUUGAUUUGUUGCUUGUUCUGUCUCCUUUUAGCAGCGUCCCUUUUCUGUUUGUUGGAUUAUUUUUGCUUUUUGGAGUGAUUUCCGGAGUAUAAGUAUCAACCUGUCCCUUUAUCUUUAUUUUCCUCUUUUUUUCAGCAUGUUGUUUUUUUCCUUAUUAUUUUUAGAAUCUUGUGAUCUGUUAUCUCUGAUCUGCAUUUUCUGUUUGAUCUGUUGUUUUUCCUUUUGUUGAUGCCUAUUCCUAGAAUUAUCCAGGGAUCUAAAGUCUUUCCUAUGGUCAAUGAGGCAAACACCCCCCUUUGAUAACCCGAUCCUGCAGGUUAUUGGUUUUCUCCUGAUACCCCCCAUCCAUACCUUCAACAGCUUAUUCAGUAAAACCAUCAUCCACAUCAAUAAAGUUGGGGGAAUUGUGAGAUUUGAGCAUUGAGUCAAUAUCUGUGCUCUUCUUCUUAGUGACAGUACCAUGUUAUUGGUUUUAUUCCAAGUGUGUGUUGAGGUUGUUCCUGACAAUUGGGCUAUUAGCAGUCCCUUUUUUUGAUUGGUUUGACUAGUCUGCUGUCUUCCUGAUUGUUCCAGCCCCUGUUAGGCCUGUCUCCUGUUGUUCCUGCAUUUCAAGAUUAGAAUAGUAAUUUUGAGUUCGAAAGUUAGGUAUACAUGUUGUUUCCUGUGUUUGUUGCUGGCUGCCAUUGCUUCUUUGCUUUUGAGGUGAGACAGGACUCCAAACAGCUUUAGAGAUGGUUUGUUCCAGAUUUUUUUGUUGUCUUCUUUUUGUGUCUGCCACCAUUCCUGUGAUUCUGCUUGUUGGCCUUGUUCCUUUUGAUUAAAGGUGUGCUUACCUUAUUGUUGGUCUGUAAUUUUAUUCUUUGAUUGAUUUUGUGCUUCCUCCUUUCUAGCUUCUCCCUUUUGCUGAUUGUUUAGUUAAUUUUAUUACUUUGUUGUAGCUUCAUGCGUAAUCUUUUCAUUCUCAUUGGGUUUUGUGUGAUUUCCUUGUUCCUUAAUGUUUUUUUUUCAAUUUUUUCAUCCUUCCUUUUCUUUAACUUCUCAUCCCUUCUCUUGAUUGUACAGUCAUCUUCCAUGUGUCCUUGGUGUUUGCGUUAUAUGCAAUAGUUAGGAAUACCUUUAUAUUUAAAGUUUAACCAUCUCCUCUUUAUGUGGUUUGAAUUCUUAAAUCCCAGCCAAAUAUAACUGGGUCUAGUUUUUGUUAGGUCCACUUGAACUUUUAACCUUAAACUUCUACCUCUAGUUCUUUGGGAGGAUGUUGAAUCUAGGAAUAACACCUUUCAAAUUUACUCCAAAAUAGUCGUUAGUAGCACUUGGUUAUAACAAUUCAAGGUAAUCUAGGGAUAGCCACCCAAAUUGAAGCAAUGGGAGUUUCCUCAUCAGGGGUAAAAGAAGGGGAAGUAUGUAUUCUCAUCACUUGCCAUUCAAUAUUCUUUCUAAGCUUCGUCAAAACUUUUUGGUAGUCAGAAUCAUUAUCAAGGUCAAUAUAAACAUGUCUUGCAUUGUAAUGUGUGAUCUUCACACUUCCUGUGAAUUGAAUUUUGAGAAUAAAGCUUUUUUCUCAAUAGUUCCAUUUAUGGCAUCGUAUUAGUGAACGGUCCCACAAGUGUGUAUUUACAAACCUCAGCCAAUUUCACAUAAUUGUCAUCCUCAUCAAGUAGCACAGCCGGAAAUCCAUGUCUAGUCGUAUGUAUAGGAUCCUUUAAGACAAUAGGAAUUUCAUUUUUUGACUGAUUGUAUCUCAACCUUGCAGCAAAAGAUGCACCACAAUAUUUGGUGUAGGUUCAGAUUUUUUUCAGUUUUUGCAUUGUUAUUAGGAUUAUGAACAUGUUUUUGGUUGGAAGGACUUCUAUCAAUAAACUGAACCACAUUAGUGGCCUGCUUAUUAGUUUUAUCUGCUUUAGUAUUAGGCUCAUACUGGAGUAGUUGUUGGAUAUUUUGGGGAAGUUAUUAUGGUACUCCACACUUGCUUGAUUGAUUUGAUUCCAUAAGUUUACUCCUCUUUGAUUGUAGGUGUGUUUGGAUUGAUCAUUUUAUUAGGCAACACUCCCUUGAACCUUCUUGGCAACAAUUCCUUAGACGUGUUCUAUGACAUGCUUGCAGCUUCCAGCACUCCUUUGUUCAUUUCCUCCCUGCUGCAACUCUUUGCCUUGUUGAUCAUGUUUUUGCCUCUAGUGUUCUUGCCUUUGCAGCUUUACAUUCCAUGUUCCUCACCUUUGUCAUCCGGUGAGGUUUGAUUUUCGAGUUACCUGUAUUAAAAGAAGGAUUUAUAUAGGAUGAAUUACUUUCUAAACCAUAAUAAAAUUUCGAUGAUUGUGUGUCAUUUGAUGAGGUUGCUGGGUGCAUCCUCAUAGUGUUCCUGUUAGUGUCAUGCUACGUAAUCAAAUUUUCCUCCUGUUGUGUUUUGUUUUCUUCUCCAAUUGUUGUUGCUUCGAUCGACUCAGAAAACUCAAGUUGGUGUUGUUAGGACUUUCGAUCAGAAAUAGAGGUCUGCCCUUCACUUUUAUGCUUUUCUUUUUAUAAUAUAGAAUUAGGAUCAAUGUAUGGUGUUGAAAUAUUAUUGUUGUUGAUUUCCCCUUUGGAGUGAUUGUAAUUAUCUGUUAGAUGGAUGUUCUAGGCCUGAGAAUUAGUCUCAUUCAAUAGUAUUCCAUGAGUUCUGAUGAUUCGAGUUCUCUCUUAACCGAAUUUCUCGCUGGAGGCGAUUCCUUUGUCCAUUUCACCUGAGAUUGAAGUGGAUGUACCCCAUUAUUGGUGAAACAAACCCCAGUGGUCGAAUCCUUACGAAUUUGACUAGAAGUUGAUCAAAAAUGCAUAUUCGACUCAAGCGACUCCAUUGGAGUUCCAUCAAAUUGCGCCUCUCGAUUCUGACUCAUUACAACGGUGAAAUUGGCUGAUUUUUGGAUAUGUGAUGGAUGUUGAUGCAACGUAUUCAUUGCCAUUAUCAUUUCUUCAAGAUUCCACACAGAAAUUCCUUGGUAAAUAUUUGCUUGAUCUUUAUCGAACUCCCCUUCCAAAUUCGUAGUUUUCAUCGCAUCUUUUACUUGCAAUUUUGAGGCAUUCUAAGAUUGAUCUUGGAGCGUGUUCUGUUGGGGUUUGUAUCCAUCUCCAAGGUGCUUCUUUUGGCUUUGGUCCGGAAGCCAUCUGACCCCCACCGGCAAUGCAUGCGCCGUUACGGUGGUGCACUUGCCUGACUGUUCUAUAUCCGUUGUGUGAGAGAGAAAGUGUCCGUUAGAGAGAGAAUAUACUAGAGAGAUAAAAAAAUCUAGAAAAUGGGGCUCAAUUCCAUAUUUUAGGCUUAGGUUAUCGGGUUAAUGGUUUAGGUUAGGCUUAGGGUUAAGGAUAGGGAUAGGGUUUGGAUUAUGGUUUGGGUUAGGGUUUAGGUUAAUUUUUAGUUUUUAGGAUUUGUGGCUCAGUAUUUGAUGUUUUAAAAUUAAUGGUUUAGUGUUUAAUGUUUGGGUUUUUUUAUUUUGGACAUAGGGUUUAGGGUUUAGAAUUUAGGGUUAGGGUUAGGGUUACGAUUAGGACUAGGGUUAGGGUUUGGGUGUAGGUUUUUUUUAGGUUGUAUGAUUUAGGGUUUAGCAUUUCAGGUUUAAAAUUUAUGGUUUAGUCAUUAAUAUUUCGGUUCUAGUAUUUUUGACUUAGGGUUUCGAGUUUAUUAUUUAUGGUUAGGUUUUGGGAUUUUUUAGGUUUUAGGGUUUAGGAUUUAGGAUUUGAGGUUUAUUAUCAAUGGUUUAAUGUUUAAUAUUUGGGUUUUGGUAUUUUCGUCUUUGGGUUAGGGUUAGGUUUUAGGUUGUUUUUAGGUUUUACGGUUUGGGGUUAAGGAUUUGAGUUCUAAUAUAUAAGGUUUAGUGUUUAAUGUUAGGGUUUUAGUAUUUCUGGUAUUGUGUAUAUAGUUAAGGUUAGGGUUCAUGUUAGUGAUAUUUUUGGAUUAGGGUUUAGGUUUUGGUAUUUAGGGCUUGGGGUUUUGGGUUAAUGGGUUAGGGUUUUGGUUAGGGAAUAGGUCUUAUUAGUUUUUUGGGUUUGUUGUUUAUGAUUUGAGGUUUAAAAUUUAUGGUUUAGUGUUUAAUGUUUGGAUUUUUGUAUUAUGGACUUAGGGUUUAGGGUUUAGGAUUUAUAGUUAGGGUUAGGAUAAGGGUUAGAGUGUAAACUUCUUUUUAGGUUUUAUGGUUUUAUAUUUUAGCAUUUGAGGUUUAAAAUAUAUGGUUUAGCACUUAAUGUUUGGCUUUUUGUAUUUUGGGCUUAGGGUUCUGGUUUUAUUGUUUAGGAUUAGGUUAGGGUUAGGGUUUUGCUUUUUUUAGGUUUUUGGGUAUAACAUUUAGGAUUGAGGUUUAGCAUCUAUGUUUUAGUGUUUGAUGUUUGGUUUUUGGUAUUUUGGUCUUGGGGUUUAGCGUUUAUGGUAGGAUUACAGUUAGGGUUAAGGUUUAGGUUUAGGGUUUGUGGUUAAGGAUUUGAGUUGUAAUAUCUAUGGUUUAGUGUUUAAUGUUAGGGUUUUGGUAUUUUAGACUUUUGGUAUAGGCUUUGGAUUAGGGUUUAGGGUUAGGGUUCGUGUUAGGGAUAGGGUUUAGGGUUUUUUUAAGUUUUAGGUUUUGAGGUUUUGGAUUUUGGUUUAAAAUCUAUGGUUUAAUGUUUAAUGUUUGGGUUUUGGUAUUUUGGGCUUGGCGUUUUUGGUAAUGGCUUAGGGUAAGGGUUUGGGUUUGUAUUUAGAUCUUUUUAAUGUUUUAAGGUUUAUGGUUUAGGAUUUGAAGUUUAAAAUCUAUGGUUUAUUGUUUAAUGUUUGGGUCUUUGUAUUUUGGGCUUAGUUUUUUUUACUUAGGGUUUAGGGUUUACGUAUAGAGGUAGGGUUAGUAUUAGUGUUAGGGUGUUGUUUUUUUUAGCUUUUAUGGUUUACGGUUUAGCAUUUUUGGUUUAAAAUCUAUGGUUUAGUAUUAAAUAUUUUUAUUUGGGUGUUUGGGCUUUUUUUAGAAAAUAAAUUACCCUUGAAGGGGUAGGGACUGAGCAUCACCCGCAGGCCUUAUCAUUAUUUUAAAAAAAAACAAAAUACAAGGAGGGGGGGCAUAACCUAACCUGCAACCUACGAUAGUUUAAAGUCAUCUUUCAAAAAUAAAGUCAACUCCUCCCCUUACAGUAGAAGAUGAAACCAAAAUACUAAGAACCUAAGGUGAGGGCUCCUCUCAUUACAUAGUAUCUAGGAAGCAUAAAUAAGAAAGACUCUCCCUUUACAUAAUCAAAGGAAGACUAAAACUAAUCUAUUCAAAGAAGCUAUAAUUCAAAAUAAUAGCUAAGUUGAAAAGAUGAACUAAUCUCAAGGAGGCUCAAAAAUCUCCUUUGACUUCUUCCUUUUAAAGUUAGGCAUCUCCAAUAAGUCAAGCUGAUAGUGAGACUUUGCUUAUUUAGGUGGUUGAUGAUUGUUGAAAUAUACCUGAGGAGUGGCAGUUUUGUGGCUGUGUUUUGACUAUGUAUCUGCUACACAAUUUGCUUCUCUAAGCAUAUGAAUGCAUUUGAAACUGUUGGCUUGAGUAAUAAGAUGUUGCAACCUUCCAAUAUAAGUGAUGAUACUCCGUUGUGGGGCUGCUAUCUGUAAGAUCCAAUGGACCACCAAUUGAGAAUCAUGUUCUAGUAAAAUGUUCCUGUAGCCAAGCUCAAGUGCCCAAGCUAAACCAAAUAUGGCAGCUUCAAUUUCAGCUCUAUUGUUUGUUCCUUCUCCAAGAGGUGUUUAGAAGGCCAUUACCAGCUUGCCUUCUUUGUCCCUAAGAAUACCUCCAGCCCCAAGUUUGUCCGGGUUGGUGAGUGCACUUCCAUCUGUAUUCAUCUUAAUCCAUUGAUCUGGUUGUUUGUUCCAUGUUACCAUGCUCACUUUGGUGCUGUGAAUGCACCUUUCACUCUUUUGUAGUAAAUCAAUCCACUUUGCAGGCCAUUGGAGAUGUGGAAAUGUACUAUUAAGAAUUUUGAAGUUGUCUUUGUAGACUGCAUACUUCACCCUGCUCAUUUUAGUUGUUUUACCUCCAUACUUGCAUGAACACCAAUUCAUCCACAUGUUCCAGGAAAUGAAAAUUGGAGCAGCUUGUGGGCCGCAUUUUUCAACUUGACGGUCCACCAUUGCUGUAGCAGCUGCUGCAGUGAAGAGUGGUGCAGCUGUAGGCCUGCACGGCCUGCAAAAAAUUCAAAACCUUGGCUGCAUUGUCCUAAAUAGAAUGUGUGUUCUAUGUUGUCCAUACCAGCCCUAUCAAGACAACAAAAACAAUGUGACAGCUCAAUGCCAAAAUUAGUCAAUCUUUCAUUAGUAUGGAGUUUACCCCUUAGGGUUCUCCAUAAAAGAAAAGAAGAUUUAAAGGGAAUGUUUUUAUGCCAUAUCAUUGAAUUAAAAUGAUUCUUAGCUCUUUUGUUCCCGAUUUCCUCCCAUGCUGAAGAGAAACUAAAGCUGCCAUGGUUAAUGAGAUUCCAGACAGCUUUGUCUGGAAGAUGAUGCUGUGGAGAGAACUCUAUAGCCAAAAUGUUGGAGAACUUACUAGCAGGGGCCUGUUCUACAGUUUGCUCCAACUCCACUUCCCAUCUUCCCAGAAUUCAACCAGUGUAGCAUUGUUAAAUAUGUUGCUAUUGGUGGUGUGAUGAGCCAGUGGCCCACUGUCAAGCCAGUUAUCCCACCAAAAGGAAGAAUUUCCAUCUUGAAGUUUCUAAUGGAUGUGCUUCUCAACAUUCAGUCUAUUCAUUAGCAUAUGUUUCCAAGUAAAUGACUCCCCAGUAUCCCAUUUUUUGUUUAGAUGGUUUGAUCUUUGACAAUAUGUUGCUCUCAAAAAAUCUCCCCACCUAGUUUGUUUUGUUCUAAGGUCCACCACUGUUUGAAUUGGAAGGAUUUGCAGAUAUCUUGUCAGUUUCUCAUUCCUAUCCCCCCUUCAUCGUAGGGGUAGCCUAGAUUUUUCCAUGAAGCCGAGUGAUACUUCUUUUUAUCACUCAUCCAUCCCCAGGAAAAGUUAGCUAUAAGCCCUGGGAUUUUCCUGAGUACUGUGGCUGGAGGUGUCACUACAUAUAGAAGGUCGAUAUGGACAGCCUGUAGAACAUGUAUUGUAAGGAUUUCCUUGCCUCCAUAGCUUAAUUGUUUUGUUUGCCAACCUGUAAUCCUGUAAAUAAGCUUGUUAACAAGAUCAGAGAAAUAUAUAUUCCUAGGCCUUCCAACAAAUAGAAGGCUGCCUAGGUAAUUAAUAGGACCUUGCUUUUGUUUGAAACCUAUCAGCCUCUUAAUUCUAUCUCUAGUGCUAUUGAAAGCGUCAGAUUGUAGCAUAAAGAGGCUUUUGUCCCCAUUGAUGAGUUGACCUUGCACCUUCCAGAUGUAAAUAAAAUUAUGUCAUCAACAAAACUCAAAUGAUUCACUUCAGCCCCUCUCACUUCCAUGAAGAAACCAUGAUAAAUCGGAUGGUUGUGAAGCCUGUUUAGAGAUUUUGAAAGUACAACUGCACCUAAAAUAAAUAGGGCAGGGGAAAGAGGAUCAUCUUGCUUGAGACAUCUAGUUAGGUGAAAGAAACCAUACCUCUUACCAUUAACAAUGAUUGAGUACCACUUGUUAGCCAUGAUUCUUCACACUAUACAAAUAAAAACCUCAUCAAACCCCAUCUUUCAUAGAACUAGGCAAAUAUAGGACCAUGACACCCUGUCAUAAGGUUCUGCCAUGUCUAGUUUAAUGAUUACAUUGCUACCAAUAUAGGGUUUUUUGAUUGGGUGAAUGGUUUCCUGAGCUAUCAUGAUGUUCUCAUAAAUUCUUCUACCUUUAACAAACUCGGAUCGGUUAGAAGAGAUUAAGGUAGGGAGGAUAGUACUACGUCUAAUUCUCAUUAGCUUAGAUAUGAUCUUGCGAGUGAAGUUGCUCAAACUUAUAGGCCUAUACUUAGUCAUCUUGUUUGGAUUGUUCACUUUAGGGAGCAACAAAAUGCAAGAAUAGGAAAAGUAUUUUUAAAUCAUCUGUCCAUUGAAAAAAGCCUGUACAACCCCCAUUAGAUCAUUCUUGAUAAUAUGCCAACACUUAUGAAAGAAAUACCCAUUCAUAAAAUCAGGGCUAGCUGCUGAAUUAGGAUUCAAAAAAAAGACCACCUCUAAGGUCAGUCGUAUGGUCAACCAACCCCUCAUGCGGAACAUGAGGCAAACACCCCCUUUUGGUAACCCCAUCCUGCAAGUUAGUGGUUUUCUCCUCACACCCCCCAUCCAUACCACCAACAACUUCUUCAAUAAAACCAUCAUCAAUAAUAGUAAUGUUGGGGGAUUGGGACUUGGGAAGCAUAGAGUCAAUACCUCUGCUCUUGUUAUUGUAAUCUGCAGCAGUCUGCUGCUUUUGUUCUUUGUUUAUGUUGCUUCUUUUUGUGCAAGCUGAGCUGUUAUUAGCCCCCCUUUUUUUAAUUCUGUUGUGUUACUUCUCCACUGUUGUGAUCCUCCACAUUAUUGUCUGUCCUUUGUUGUUCCUAUAUUUCAAAGUUAGUGAAAAUAUUUUGAGUUGGGAUAUUAGUCUUACCUGUUGUUUUCUAUUCUUGCUGAUGGUUGUCCCUGAUUUUUUGUGUUUGUGGUGAAACUGGUCUCCAAAAAGACUUGGAGUUAGUAGUUUCCUGAUUUUUGUGCAAUUUCAUUCUUUAAGUAUGCCAUUGUUCAUCCUGCAACUCUACCUACUGGUCUUGUUCAUUCUGAUUGAAGGUGGUUUUCCCAUGUUGAUGGUGCUUGUAAGUUGUUUCCUUGACUUAUUCUGGUUUUCCUCCCUAUUCUGCUGAUUUUGUUUCUUUGCAGCUGCCUCAUUUGUAAUUUUUUUUCCUGUUCUUGAGCAUGUUUGUUUCUAGUCUGCUCCUUAUUCUUUUUUUCUAGAUUCUAACUCCUUUCUUUUCUUGAACUUAUCAUCCCUCAUCUUGAUUGAAAAUUCUUUUUCCAUACGUCCUUGAUGCUUAUAGUGUAGACAAUAAUUAGGAAUUUAACCAUCUUUUUUUGUUGGUGUCUGAGUUUUUAAAUCCUAGCCAAACAUGAGAAGGUCUAGCUUUGGUAAGAUACACUUGAACUUUAACUAUAGUAGAUCUACCUCUACUCCUUUGGGAGGUUGGUGAGUCAAGGAAAAGUACCUUCCUAAUAGAUUCCAAAAUAGUAGUCAAUAACACUUGUUGUAAAAGAGCUAAGGAAGUCGUGGAAUAGCCACCUCGGUGUAAAAUCUGGGGUCGAAGCCUGGAUUCUCAUCACUUUUCCCUUAAUAUUCAUACUAUGUUUUGUCCAAAAAGUUUGGUAAUCAAACUCAUUGUCCAAGUAAAAGUACACAUGCCUAGAAUUGAAGUGUGUGAUCUUCACAAUCCCCUUAAGUUGAGUUUUGAGGGUGAAUAUUUUCCUAACAAGCUCCAUUUUCGGCAUUGUAUUCGUAAACUUUCCCAUAAAAGUAUAAUUACAAACUUCCGCCAACUUCACAUAAUAAUCAUUUUCAUCCAUAGUACCACAUGAAAACCUUGUCUAGUAGUAUGUAUUGUAUUAUUCACAACAAUUGGGAUUUCAUUUUUUGCUUUGUUAUAUCUCAAUCUAGCAACAAAUGAUUGUACAACUGUAUAGGGCGCUGGUUCUAAAUUUUUCUCAUUUUUCAGAUUGUUGGUAUGUUGAAGCUUUUGUUGGCUAUUAGAGUAUCUAGCAGCUGCCUGAACCACAUUAGUUUCCUGCUUAUUACUUCUAUCAGAUUGAAGAUUAGAUUCAUACCAAUAGUAGUUCCUUCAUAAUUUUGGAAAGUUAUUGUGAUAUUCCACAUUUGUUCGAUUGGUUUGGUUUAAUGGAAUGCUUUCUCCUUGCUUGUAGGUGUUCCUAGCCUGAUCAGUUUGCUUUUAUCCUUUCCUUGACCCUCAUCUGAACUGUGCUUGCAGCACUCCCAGUCUGCUGCGUUUCCUUGCCUGAGUGCUCAUGUUUUUGGCUUCAUUGUUCUUGCCUUAGAAUUUUUAACAUCCCAUGUUCUUUGCCUUUCUCCUAUUGGUUGGUUAUAGUCUGUGAAUUACCUUCAUUCAAAUUGGGAGUUUGGUAAGAAGACUUACCUACAAAGACAAAUGAAAAGUUAGAUGAUGACGUUUCAUUUGAUGAUGAUGUUGUAUGCUUCCUCAAUGUGUUCUUGGUAUUGUCCCGCUGCUCAAUCGAGUUUUCCCCAUGUUGAAUUUCUGUUCUUUAUCCUUUUGAAGUUUUUUUGGAUUGACUAGGAGACCUCAACAAUGUUUUUUGUGCAGCACUUCAAUCAAACAUGGGGUUCUCCCCUUCGCUUCCUUGUUUUUCAUAUUGCGAUUUCCACUUAGGAUCAGUGGUGGAUGUUCGAUUGUUGUUGUUGUUUAUUUCUCUCUUGAGUUUGUUUGAAAUAUCAGUAAGAUGGAUAUUAUUGGCCUGAGAGUCAGUCCCCUCUGAUGAAUCUGCAUGAUUUCCGACAUUUGGAGCUCUAUUUUCGCCGGAAAUCACCCCCCGACGAUUUCAAUCCAUUUCACUUGAAAUUUUAGUGAGAUGGACCUUAUGUUCAGGAGAACAACCCCAAUUUUUGAAACAUUACAAAUUUGACUAGAAGACGAUCGAUUCUUGGUGCGCAUCUCAGUUAACGCACUCGCGAUUUUUUUGAAAGUCGCCUUUCAAUUCUCAUUAAUUGCAGAGAUGGAAUUCGUUAAUUUUUUACUAUGUUGUAGAUAUUGAUGAGGGGAAUCCGUUUCCAUAACUCUUUCUCCCCAAUUCAACUCAGAAUUUCCUUGGGAAAUGAUUUCACGUUCUCUAUCAAAUGCCAUUUCUAAAAGUGCAGUAUUCAUUUGCGAAUUUGGGUAGAUGUGAAAUGGAUCAUGGUACGUGAUGCACUGGGGUCUGUUUCUCUUUUAAGGGAGAACCUGAUGGAUUUGGUCCUGUGGCCGUCUGAGCUCUACCGGUGGCACACGAGCCAUUGCAGCGAUGCGCCUACGUGCCUGUUUAGUAUCCAUAUUGAGAGAUCGGUGGUAGGCCGACGUUGAACGUUUCAACUUGGCCACUGAAGAAGGCGAAGGCUGGGCGAGAGGCGUUUUAGAGGAGAGAGGAAAAAAUUCGGAAAAUGAGGUGACUUGGUAUUUUGGGCUUAGAGUUUUGGUUUUAUGGUUUAGGGUUAGGGUUAUUGUUAGGAUUAGGGUUUUGGGUUUUUAUUAGGCAUUUGGUUUUGGGGUUUAAGAUUUUUUUCUUAAAGUCUGUGGCUUAGUGUUUAAUGUUUGGUUUUCGUAUUUUUGACUUAGUUUUUUUUUGGACAUAGGGUUAGGGUUUACGGUUAGGUUUAGGGUCAGGAUUAGGAUUAGGGUGUAGUUUUUUUUAUGUUUUAUGAUUCAAGGGUUAACAUUUGAGGUUUAAAAUCUAUGGUUUAGUAUUUAAUGUUUAGGUUUUUUUUAGGCAUAGGGUUUUGGGAUUAAGGUUUAGGGUGAGGGUUAAGGUUAAGGAUAGGGUUAGGGUUAUGGUUUGGGUUUUUAUAGAUUUUUUUGUUUAGAAUUUAGGAUUAGACAUUUAAUAGCAAUGGUUCACUAUUUAAUGUUUGGAUUUUUUUAUUUUGGACUUUGGGUUUAGGAUUUUUGACAGGUUAGGGGUAGGGUUAAUGUUAGGAUUAGGGUUAGGGUUCAGGUUGUUUUAAAGGUUUUAUGGUUCAGAGUUAAGGAUUUAAGAUGUAAUAUAUGUGAUUUAGUGUUUAAUUUUAGUGUUUUCGUAUUUUGGGCUUUGGGUUUACGAUUUAGGGUUUGUGUUCAGGAUAGGGUUAGGUUUAGGGUUCGUGUAAGGGAUAGUUUUAGGGUAGGUUUAGGGUUCGUGUAAAGGAUAGUGUUAGGAUUAGGGUUUAGGGUUUUUUAGGUUUUAGACUUUGGGGUUUAAUAUUCAUUUAAAAAAUCUAUGGUUUAGUGUUUGAUAUUUGGGUUUUCAUAUUUUGAGCAUAGGAUUUCUUUUAUGCAGAGUUCAGGGUUUACGGUUUAGGUUAUGUUAAGUUUAGGGUUGGGUUGUAGGUUUUUUAUAGGGUUUAUGGUUCAGGAUUUAGCAAUUUUGAGGUUUAAAAUCUAUGGUUUAUUAUUUAAUGGUUGGGUUCUUAUAUUUUGGACUUAGGAUUUCGGUUUUAUUAUUUAUGGUUAGGUUUUUUUUUUUAGGUUUUUGUAUUUAGGAUUUAGGAUUUGAGGUUUAUUAUCAACGGUUCGGUGUUUAAUGUUUGGGUUUUACUAUUUUGUUCUUUGGGUUUACGGUUAGGUUUUACAUUGUUUUUUUGGUUUUACAGUUUGGGGUUAAGGAUUUGAGUUCUAUUAUCAAUGGUUUAGUGUUUAAUGUUAGGGUUGUAGUAUUUUCUGUAUUCGGUUUAGGGUUAGGGAAGAGUUCAUGUUAGUGAUAUUGUUAGGAUUACGGUUUACGUUUUUCUUUAGGUUUUAGGUUUUCAGGUUUUGCCUUUUUAUAUUUAAAAUCAAUGGUUUAUUGUUUAAUGUUUGGAUUUUUGUAUUUUGAGCUUUUAUUUUUUUGUAAGUUGAAUUACCUUGGAGGGGUAGGGGCUGAGCAUCCCUCCUAGGCCUUAUCAUUAAUAACAAAAAUAAAAUACAAGGAGGGGGACAUAAUCCUAACCUCCAACCUAAGAUGGUUUGGAGUCAACUUCUCAAAAGGAAAUCAACUCCUCCCCUUACACGAAAGAUGAAACCAAAAUACUAAGCACCUAAGGAGAGGACUACUCUCAAUACAAAGUAUCUAGGAUGCAUAAACUAGGGAGACUCUCCCUUUACAAGAAAGCCUAUAAACUAAAGUAACCUAUUUAAAGUAGCUAUAAUUUUAAUUAUAGCUAAGUUGAAAAGAUGUACAACCUCAAGGAUGCUCAAAAAUUCUCUUUGUCUUCCUUCUUCAAAAGUUCGGCAUUCCCAAUAAUUGAAGUUGAUAGUAGGCUUUUGCUUCAUUUGGUAGAUAGUGGCUGUUGAGAAAUACCUGAGGUGUGGUAAUGUUGUGACUAUGUUUUUACAAUGCAUCUGCUACGCAAUUUGCUUCUCUGAAUACAUGAAUGCAUUUGAAGAUGUGUACUUGAUUUAUAUGAUGUUGCAGCCUUCCAAGUUGAUUGAUGAUACUCCAUUGCGGGACUUCCUUCUUUAGGACACAUUGUACUAUUAGUUGAGAAUCAAGUUCCAAAAUUAUGUUCCUGUAUGCAAGCUCAAGUUACCAUGUUAAAUGAAAGAUGGUUGCCUCUAUUUUAGCUUUGUUGUUUGUUCCUUCUCCAAGUGGUGUUGUGAAAGCCGUCACAACUUUGCCUUGUUUUACUCUCACGAUUCUCCCAGCCCCCAGCCUACAAGGGUUCUUUAGUGCACUUCCAUCAGUGUUCACUUUGAGCCAUUGAUCUGCAGGUUUAACCCACUUCUCCAUGCUCUCUGUGAUGUCAUGGACACACUUUUCUUUCUUUUUGCGUUAAGUCUGUCCACUUGGCCGGCAAGUUAAGUUGAGGAAAUGCAGUGUUCAAAAUCUUGUAGUUGUCCUUGUAGAUUGCAUAUAUAACUGUGCUGAUGUUUGUUGAUUUACCUCCAUACUUGCAGGCACACCUGUUCUUCCACAGAUUCCUGUAAAUGAAUAUUGGCGUAGCUUGUAGCAACAGUUUUUGGGCUGCAUUUCUAGGCUUGGUUUUCCACCACUGUUGUAGCAGUUGCUGUUGUGAAGAGUGUUCUGGUUGUAGGCCUGCACUACCUACAAAAAAGUUCCAUACCUUGUAUUGCCUCCUCACUUUUCCUAAAAGUAAGGUCAAAGAUAAGAGAUUGAUGUGAAGGAAAAAUCCCUUACUCACUACUCUCUUAUGGUGAUCUAAUAAGUUUAAUCAACUUUGUAGCCAUGGAGCUUUGCACUAAUCUCAAGAUAAAGGAACAGCUUAAGAAGGAUAAAAAGUUUUUGGUUUUCGAGCAUGGCAGCUUCUGUCAAGACUUUGGAUUUCCAAUUCUUAAACCACCUUCAGCAAGAAUUGUUUCAAAACUGAAAUUUAAUUCUUCAAAUGGUUUGAAUGAUCCGGCCUAAUUGUUGAAACAAAUUCAUCACUUCAAGUUUUGAUAAACAAGUGGCAUACCAAAGAUAAGGUUGCCGAAAGUAUAACUCCUCCUCUAGAAGGUAUUCACAUUCCUUUCAAAAAAGAAGUUUAAUAGCAAGUUAGAUUAAACAAAUAUGGAGGCAUUCAAAAUCCUUUUUAUAUCUAUCAAUAUCGGCAGCAACUAGCAGUUUGAUAGUAACUAAUGAAUUAUUAAUAGCAGAAGUUGACUCACAAGUCUUGAUAUUGUAGUUCUUAAACAAGUUAAAAUUACCUAUUUGGUAAAUCUUUUUAAAAGGUUCUUUGGAAAUAGACCAAUUUUGCAAUCUUUUUUCUUCUUUAGAUAUAGAAGCGCUAUUAACAAUAUGAUUAUUCAUAAUUUUACAAUUCUUUUCUUUAGGCUUGAGAGAAGUCACUUAUUACCAUUAACAGAUACUUAUGUUAACAGAGCUUAACCUUAUUAUGUGAACAUGAAUAUUGGUAAAACAAAUUAAUUGAAUUGUAACAAGGAUCAUUAGAUUCAACUAAGGAUUAACAGUGAUAUAAAAAACUAAAUUUGCCUUGGAUAUUACUCAUUCUUUGGCAAGUCAUGUUGCAGGACGGAACACCAAAAGAUCUUUUUCCUGCCCUUAAGGCCUUACGGACUUACAACGAUCUAAUUUCAGGCUUACCAAGUCCUUAAGCCGGAGAUUAAUCGGCAUACUAAGACUUAUGAAGAGAAGAAACCUUAGCCUUUAACUUGUUUUAAUCAGAGUUAAUAACAAGAUGAAAAUAAUAAUCACUAAGUCAAAAUUCUAUAAAUUGCUUUAACCAAGAUUAAGAAACAUCAGCAAGUAUUGUAACUAAGUUAAAAUUAAGUUAUCUAUUCCUAAAGAACCUUUUCAAAAGAUUAACCAAAUAGGUAAUUUUAACUUGUUUAAGAAUUACAAUAUGAAGACUUGUGAGUCAGCCUGUGCUAUUAAUAAUUCUUUAGAUACUAUCAAACUAUUAGUUGUUGCCGAUAUUGAUAGAUAUAAGAAGGAUUUUUAAUUCCUUAAUAUUGGUUUAAUCCAACUUGCUGUUAAACCUCUUUUCUGUAAAUGUCUGAAUAUUCCUAUAUGUUUAAUUCUUGUGAUACUAGACUUCUCAAUUUUGAUGACUUUUUUGUUAGGUGUCCUUGAAACUAACCUAUCUAAUGGCCCAGUCUAUUUUAAUUGUUAUCCAAAUUUCUCGGUUGGCAUCGACGACCCUAAUCUCAUAGAUACCUUGACUCUUAAUGUCAAAACCAAAAAUAUGAAUAGCAAAAUUGACACUAGAGAAAUAGUUGUAAUAUACAGUGUAUAUUACAAGCUUAUGAAGACUACAGUAGCCCCAAAGGUUAUUAACUAUAGUGCUAAAGGAAUCACGAUGCUCAUGCAUGCAAUCCAAGAACACGGUACUACCUUUGUUCCUUGUUUUCUUAAAUUGGAUGAGAUUCUUUCCAAUAAUGAGUGAAAUUUGAAUCUAUUACUGAACCCCUUCCCAUUCAACCUUCUAGGUCUUCGCUAGAAUGUAUUACCCAGUUUUGAGACGGAUCUAUUAACCUUAAGUUUUUAAGAUCCAACUCUUUCAACCAACACUCUUAAAGUUGAAGAAUGUCUUUGGUUAGAACGUCUUCUUCAAAACAAAGAAGAUGAUGAAAUUUCUGAUGUUUUUGAAGAUUUAGAACAAAGUAAAUUUCAAGGUGUGCAUUUUACCAACACUAUUCCUAAAUUCUAUUACGAAUCAACUCAAAGAAAUCCUUCUCUCAAUGACAUGAGACCUUCUUUCCAUAGAAAAAAAGACUCAGUUGGUGUUAUCAAAUCUACAGAGAAUUUUACUCCAGAUAUAAAGAAAAUUAGCAAGUGGUGGAACAACCCAAAGCAUGCUCUUAAAAAGGAUUGGUAUGUUGACACAUAUACAAAAGACCAGAGAAUCUCAUUCAGAGACAAAUUGUUCAAAGACAUGAAGAGAUUCAAAACUGAAAUUGAAUUCUUCAAAUGGUUUGAAUGUUCCGGCCAAAUUGAUGAAAUCAAUUCAUCACUUCAGAUUUUGAUAAAAAAAAGUGGCAUACCAAAGAUAAGGUUGUCAAAAGUAUAACUCCUCCUCUUGAAGGUAUUCACAUUCCUUGCAGAAAAGAAGUCUUGAAAGCUGCUCCUUUCAAAAAGCCUACAGAUAGGACAACGACCCUAUAACUGUUGUAGAUAUCAACAAAAUAUUUGAACAAAAUAAUUAUACUAACUAAGUUAUUCAUGUUUUUUCUAAACAGAUAGGAGACUCCAGUUAUAAUUAUAGCGGUACCAGUCAGCUUGGUAAUAAACCCAGUUCUUCAAAAAAUUGUUUUAAUUUAGAAACCAUUCCCAUUUUUAAAAUCCAUGAGUUCUCUCCUGAAGCUUUUUCUAAACCUUCUAAUAAAUUCAAUAACUCUCCCGAGAUUCUUGAAGGAUCAAUGACCAGCUCUCAAAGCUCAAAAUAACUCAUGGCGGAAAAAUCAACACUCUUAAAGAUAGGCUCCCCUAUUCCAAAAACCUUUAUCCUAGAACCUCUUUUCCCGAUGUUCAACUCGAAGAAAAACAUAUGGACCCUCAAGGAAUUGCAGAUGGAAAGGGAAUUACAGAAUGGAAUAUAGAUGAAAUGGUGGAUGGCCAGAUCCACAACAAACUUGAUGAGAUGGGCAUGAAUGUCACAACUUAUAAAUGGAAGAUUUCCAUGGACAAGUAAGCUGCUUACAUGUUAGUAGUAGGUUUCGUAGGAACUCUUAGAAAUAUGUGGGACAAUUAUCUCACAAAUCUAAAUAGAGCUGACAUUCUUGAUUCUAUAGCAAACAAAUCAGUUGUCGAAAUUGGAGGACCAACUUCUACAUCUAUAGAAGCAGUAGAAGAUACUACGACUACUCUUGUCUAUAGUAUUGCUAAGCAUUUUGUGGGAGAACCACACCUUUUCCUAGAUAGAAGUUUAGAGAUUCUAAACAAUCUUUACUGCAAGAAAUUAACUAAUUUCAGGUUGUAUAAAGAUAUGUUUAUAACCAAAGUGAUGAUAAGGGAAGAUUUCAACAACGACUAUUGGAAAGAACGUUUCCUUAGUGGAUUACCUCCCCACUUUUCCGAAAAAGUAAGGUCAAAGAUAAGAGAUCGAUGUGAAGGUAAAAUCCCUUACUCACAUAUCUCUUAUGGUGAUCCAAUUUGUUUAAUCAACUUUGUAGCCAUGGAGCUUUGCACUGAUCUAAAGCUAAUAGAAAAACUCAAGAAGGAUCAAAAGUUUUUGGUUUCCGAGAAUGGAAUAUUCUAUAAAUACUUUGGGUUUCAAAUUCAUAAACCACCUUCAGCAAGAAAGGUUUCAAAAAAAGAGCGAUCUGGAAAAUCGCCAGAUUGUAAAAAAUCCCCUAGAAGGAAAAAACACUUAAAAAAGAGAAGUAAACAUACUUCUCAAAAGGAUAAGUGUUGGACUUGUUGAAAAUAAAUACAUAACUCUCCUGAUUGUCCCAAAAACAAAAGAAAAAUGAAGAAGAUCAACCUUCUUGAAGUAGAAGAAGAAACUAAAAAGCAGUUUCUCUCUGUCUUAGACGAAUAAGAGUCAGAAUCUGAACACUCUUCUGAUAGUGAAACUAAAGACGAAGAGUUUCUUAAUGUAGCUCAAAACACAGAUGACAGUAUUCCAGAGUGAAACUCUUAAUGAGCCUUUUGCCUAUGCGACAAUCAGUCUGUAAGGGUUAUCUCUGAAGAUUCAGUUGAAAUAUUAUUUGCAACAAUUGAGCAUAUCAAAGAAGAUGAGCUCGAAGAAGUUAUUUAUUGGAACUUCAAAAACUAGUUAGUAAACGAAAAGAAAAGGAGCUUACUACAAGUGUAAUUCAUUCAGUAUGAAACACAUUAUGAAUAGAUUUGACAAUAACACGGAUGAACUUUCUAUAGGUGAGCUGCGAUCAGAAGUCAAUCUUCUUAAACAAGAAAUCAGAGAAGUCAAAUCUAGAAUUCAUAAAAUCUAAAUUGAUGCCCUAAUAAAAGUAAUCCUAAAAGAAGUAGAAGGUACAUCUAAAGGAAAAGAACUGACUCAUUCGGAUAAUGAGGAAAAUGGUUUCGAAGAAUUUUCAUCCCCCGGAGAUGAAACUGAGGUAGGUGUAAACAUGAUUACAAAAAUUAGACCUCAAAGUUCUCACAUCCUUAAAAAAUUAAUCAUUAAUAAUAAUUAUGUUGUCAAAAGAAUUUCUUUGUUAAGCAGUGGGGCAGAUAGAAAUUGCAUUAUUGAAGGUUUAAUCCCUACUAAGUACCAUCAAUAGGGAACCACCAAGCUAUAUAGCGCAACUGGUGAGCGUAUUCUUAUUAAUUAUAAAUUAUCCAGUGCCCAUAUUUGCAACAAUGGUAUUUUUCUUUCUAAUGAUUUCGUUAUCACUAAAAAUAUUAACGAAGAAAUCAUUUUAGGAAUUGUUUUUAUCACUCAGAUAAAACCUUAUAUUUAAGAUUUUGAUUAUAUCAAAAUAAAAAUUUUGGGAAAAGAAAUUUCAUUUCCCUUUAUAAAAACACUUUCUCUUGAAGAAAAUUUUUUUUUACACAAACAAUCUGCUUUCAAAAUAAACCAGAUUUGUUUUUAUUAAAGAAUAUAUCAAAAUGAAGAAAAUAGAGCAAAUUUUAAGAAUCCCGGGAAUGAUAGCUAAAAUUGCUAAUCUUCAACAAACUUUUGAAAGAGAAAUUUUCUCUCUAAGUUUCCAAAUGCUUUUUUGGCCAGAAAGAUCCACAUUAUAGAUUUACCAUAUAUUGAUUUUUUUAUGAAAGUGUCAUUUCGACGAAAGCUAGGCCUAUUCAGAUGAACCAUGAACUAAUGGAAAUCUGUAAAAAGGAAAUUAACUCUCUUUUGGCUAAUAAAAUUAUUAGACCUUCUAAAUCUCCUUGGAGUUGUUCAGCGUUUUAUGUUAACAAUGUAGCUGAGCAAGAACGAGGUUCUCCAAGACAUGUUAUAAAUUACAAGCCUUUAAACUCAGGCUUGAAAUGGAUUCACUAUCCAGUUCCAAACAAAAGAGAUCUUUUAAAAAGAACUUUCAAGGCCAAUAUUUAUAGCAAAUUUGAUUUAAAAUCUAGUUUUUGGCAAAUUCAAAUUUCUGAGAAGGACAAAUAUAAAACUGCUUUCAAUGUCCUUUUUAGACAAUUUGAAUGGAACGUCAUGCCUUUUGGGCUUGAGAAUGCCCCUUCUAAAUUUUAAAAUAUAAUGAAUUCCUUUUUUAAUCACAUUAGCGAUAUAUCGAUUGUAUAUAUUGAUGAUGUAUUACUAUUCUUCGAGGACAUUGAUUCUCAUUUCAAACAACUUAAUUUUUUCUUCAAAAUAAUUAAGUACAAUGGUUUUGUCAUUAGUGCUAAGAAUAUAAAAUUAUUUCAAACACAAAUUAGAUUUUUAGGUCAUGAUUUGUAUCAAGGUACCUAUAAACCUAUUUGCAGGGCCAUUGCGUUUUCUAAAAAAUUCCCUGAUAUUGUCCUUGAUAAAACUCAGUGCAAAGGUUCUUAUGAAGACUUAAUUAUAUUGCCGACUUUAUCCCUAGAGUAAGACAAAUCUGUAAACCACUCUUUGACAGGUUAAACAAGGAUCCAUCUUUCUGGACUAACGAACAUACUAAAUUAGAUGUUCUUCUUAAAUCUAUGGUUAAAAACCUUCCUUGCCUAGGGAUUUCUAACCAAGACUAUUUUAUGAUUGUAGAGAAUUUUAUGAUUGUAGAGACGGAUGCAUCUGAUAUAGGAUUUGGUGGUAUCCUCACACAGAGGAGAACCCCAGAUUCAUCAGAACAAUUAGUUCAUUAUACUUAAGGAAUCUAGAAUUCAACUCAAAAGAAUUAUAGUACUGUUAAGAAAUAACUUCUUUAUAUAGUUAUCUGAAUCACUAAAUUCCAAGAUGAUCUUAUUAAUAAAGAAUUCUUACUUAGAGUAGAUUGCAAAUCUUCUAAAGAAAUUCUACAGAAAGAUGUUAAAAAUCUUGUCUCUAAACAAAUUUUUGCUAGGUGGCAAGCCUCAUUAUCCAACUUCGAAUUUCAAAUCAAAUUUAUUAAAGGAAAAUAUAAUCUUUGCUUGACUUUUUAACACGAGAAUUCUUGCAGGGAAAAUCAUCAUGAGGCCCUCUUCAAGAGCCAUAACAGGGAGCCCCUUCAAGAAUAAAGGAAAGAGUCCUGAAGGAAAACCUUCAGCAAAACUAUUUGCUAUCAGGCCAUUAUCGAAUGACCCAAACAAAUACUCCGCUUUAGCUAUCUUACAACCCAUAGACUUAGAAUUUUCAAUAACUCCUUUUCCUUCUCUGCCUCCGACCUCUAAUAAACCCUUUAAACAAAUUGUAGAACCUUGCUCACACUCGCCAUCAGGAUUACCCAGAUACUCUUUCCCCCAAACAAUAGAUUCUUACACCAUGAAAGCUCCUAAGAGCUUCAAAGAAGCAGUUGCACCAAGUACUGCUUCAACUACAGAUAAAACUCCAAAGGUAAAAGAAACCUUUGAAAUUAUGAAAAUUUUGAGGUAAAACAUCUUGUUAAACCUCUAUUUUCUAACAGAAAUUAUGUUGAUACUGAUAAUCCAUUAAAAACAAGAAAAUACUUCGAGUUCAUUCUUGUUGAUACUUGUCCAAUUGAAGUUGAACACAAACUUAAUGAAAACUUUGAUGUGACCAAGAGGGUCAUCCCAAGAUGGUUUUACGAAUGGUGGAACUGUUUUGGCAGUAAUAAACAAGUUCUGCCAAAAAACAUUGCUGAGAAAUUAAAUUAGUUUCACAUAGAUCAAGACAUAUCUUCUCUCCUAGAGAAUAUAAAAUUAUGUAAAUAUUUUAUUCCAAAAAGUAUUUUUUAUAUUAAUAGUUGGACUUUCUGUAUUGCAGAAUUGUACAGGAUAAAGUAUUUGUCAAGAGAAGUCCUGAUUAAAGGAUGGUCUCCAGCUCCAAAAGAAGCUGCAAAUCAUCAACCAAUCGAUCUCUAGAAGAUCUCCCCAGAAGACUUUAUCUGAGAAAGAACUGAAGAUAAGAUAACAAAGGCCUUGUCAGACUUAGACUCUGAAGAUAAUGAACAGUCUAUAAUGAAGCUCCUUGAAGAAGCUUCAUCCUCUCAUAGUGACAAUAAUGGAGAAAAACCUAAAGUUUUGGCACAGUCUUAUUUCGAUCCAUUUUAUGAUUAAUCACUAGUUGAGGGUAUUAAAAUCUGAAAUAACUAGUGUUUCAGAUAGAGACCCAGAAUAACUAGUGUUUCAGAUAGAGGCCAAUAGAGCUAGAAUUAUCUAGAAAGAAAAGGAAGAGUCCCAAAGAGAUGGAAUUUCCUUUUGAUAAAAUUAUUAAGUAGAAUUUUUCAGGACCCACAAAGCAUGAUCAACAAAGCAUUAUCAACAAUUAUGGCCGACAAAAGUGGCUGACGUAACCUUAUCAAAAGAUAAAGGUGAACAUACUUUUCAAAAGAAAAUGAAAUACUUUUUUUAUCAAAAGCAACGGACGGAAAUCAACAACCAAUCAGAAGAAGAGCUUUUAGAUUUCCCUUAUCCUUUCAAGAUUAUUUAAGACUUCAUCCUUAAAGAAGAAAUCGAAGACCGAAAAACCAACAAGGCACUUUGUAAUUUUUCAUCAAUGUUUUUACUUCUCUCUAUAUGUAAAUUCUGAAGCUUCCACAAUAUAUAUAGAAAAGUAAGUUUUUAUUUAUCUCUAUAACUUAUCUUUAUGAUCCUGAAAGUUAAAUGAUGACAUUGCUACCAAUAUUGGGUUUUUGGAUUUGGUGAAUGAGAGAUCAAGUCAGGGAGGAUAGGACUAAGUCUAUUGCUCAUUAGCUUAGAUAUGAUAUUUUUAGUGAAGUUGCUCAAACUUAUAGGCCUAUACACAAUCACCUUGUUUGGAAUGUUCACUUUAGGGAGCAGCACAAUGAAAGAAUGGGAGAAAUAUUUAGGAAUCAUUUCUCCAUUGAAAAAGGUCUGUACAACCCCCAUUAGAUCAUUCUUGAUAAUAUGCUAACACUUAUGAAAGAAAUACCUAUUCAUACAAUCAGGGCUAGCUGCAGAAUUAGGAUUCAGAAAAAAGACCACCUCUCUAAGAUCAUCCUUACUAGGAAUAUUUGUAAGCUGAAUAUUUUUGUCUUGAAUAAUCAUCCUUGGAAUACAUCAAAAGUAUGCUCAUUCAUAAGCUUUUCUUCACCAGUAAAGAUUUCUUUGAAGUGUUCACAAGCUACUUGAGCAAUGUUGUCAUCACCUUGUAUCAAGUUUCUAUUUUCAUUGACAACUUUAUGAAUAAAUAAUUUCCUUCUUCCUCCCCUCAUCAUAUAAUGGAAGUAUUUAGAGUUAGUAUCACCCUCCUUAAACCAUUGAAUCUGUGUUUUUUGUUUCAAAAUAGUGUCUUCAAACUUGAGAAACUUGAUGUACUUUGCAUUAAUUUCAUGGAGGAUACUUUUAUUUGAGUCACUUUGGUUAGUGAUGUAGUUUUCUUCAGCAUUGUGUACUUGUUCCUCAUACAUGCUACCCUUUUGGAAAAUAUCACAAAAUUCAUUCUUAGACCAACCACUAAGCGUGUUUGUCAACCUUUUCAUUUUUUGGUUAAAUCUCCACAUACCUGUACCUGCCACUUCCUUUUCCCAGCAGGUUUUUACUGUUUCCAUGUAUUUAGGUUUUUUCAUCCAACAGUUGAUAAAUCUGAAAUAAUUGAUGUGAUCAGUAGAUGUGGAAAUCAUUUCCAUAAGAAGAGGACAUUGAUAAGACCCAGUAGAUGACAAAUGAGUUAUAGUGGUUUGAGGCAAGUUUUCCAACCAUGAAUCAUUUACCAUAGCCCUAUCAAGCCUCUUCCAGAUUCUGUGGUUAAUCCCUCUCUUGUUGCAUAAAUUGAAUUUGUGACCACUAUAACCAAUGUCCAAAAGGCCACAGGCUUCAAUGAAAGCAAUAAAAUCCUAAUUUUCCUCAUGUUAUAAGGCAGCCCUCCAAGUUUUUCCUACAGAAGUUAUAACAUUGAAAUCACCAACAGUACACCAAGGGUUAUUAUUCAAAGUAGCUUCCUGAAUCAUUUUUCCGAAAGAGGUCUUGUGAGGUGAUCUUUGUGCUUCGUAUUGAAAUUCCUCCUCUAGGUACGGAAAAUUAUAAAAACUAAAGGCCUUAAUAAGAUCCUCGCUAGUCAUAUUAUCCUCAUCAGGUUCAUCUAGAGAAUGGUUGUCCCUAUCCAGCUCAUCCUCAGAAUUAUCCACUACAUACUCAUAAAAAAAGGUACUGUAUUUAUCUUACACUGCCUCUUGUCUGGUGGUUCAGCUGAUGGUGGAGUCAUAUAUUGAGUGUGGAGAGAGAGUGAUAUACCGUGGUUACACGGUAUAAUUAAUACUUUUUCCUUAAGUUUAGUGUGUCCGAAAGUCUUUUUGUGCUAGUUUUUAUAUGAGUUUCUCUUUGUUUUGCAGGAAAUCUGUCCAAAGUUGAAUGCGGAGAUUUUGAGCGAAGAAAUGCAGAAGAAACCACCUACGGAGCUGAUGACGGUCCGUCGUGCUUGCGACUGUCCGUAGGUUGCAGUGUAGAGAAGCUGCUGAAGGAAGAUGGGGAAGUCUGACCAAGUGUGGGGUUACGUAUCUUGUGACGGUCCGUCGUGGCUAUGACGGUCCGUCCUGCAGGUUCGUCAUGAAGUUCAGAGAAGUGAUCCCAGUACCCAGAAUCCAAGAGUUAAAGUGUUUUGAAAAGAAGACUCUCGACGGACCGUUGUGCCUAUGACGGUCUGUUAUACUUGCCGUCGAGGGGAAUGAAGAGAGUAACAUAAGAAAUUGCUAAGUAUGGGACGACGGAGUCCAUGAUUGUCAGUCAUGACUACGACGGUCCGUUGCGUGUUUCGUCGAUCCAGUAGCGUUUUGGCAGAUUUCAAGCAAAAAGAGUCCUUGUUUAAUUAGAUUUUUAUUUUUUAUAAAUAGUUUGAAAAACCUUGUUUUUGAGGUUAGACUCCAUAUUAUUAGACUUUUGGAUUAUUGGAACUUGUGAUUGUUGAUUAGUGUUAGAUUUUUAGAUUCUUACAAGUGAUUAUUGGUGAUUAAUCAAGCAAACUUUCGGACUUUAUUCUUUCUCAUUGAAGUAACUACAUGAAUUCUUAUUUAAUAAAUUUGAAUAUUCUGUUUAUGGCUAUAAGUAACUAAACUCCAUAACUAGGGUUGUGGGACCAUAGGAAAAUAAUGAUAUAAACCGUAAUUAAAAGAACAAUUCUAGAAUAGUGUCUUGCAUGAAUAAAUAAUUUUUUUGUUUAGAAGUCUUUUUAACGGAUGGCCAAUGUUAGAACUCGCCUUAAUGCUACUUGCGGGACCAAGGAGGUAGAUAAUAGGAAAAGAAUUAUUAACAUAGAUUUAGUGUAUACUAUCUAAUAGGCUAGUAUUGAUUUGUACGAAGUAAUAACUUAGUCAAAUAUUGAAUACGAUGCUUAAUAUGAGGUAAUGAUAAUGGUUCGGAUAGCAACACACGUAGCCGGACCAUAGUGCGGAGUGAUAUUUUCUAGAUGCCGGACCAAGGAUUUAGAAAUACAUAAUUUAUCACUUUGCAUGCAAGAUACUAGGAAAGAAUUGUUAUAGUUAGAGUUAUCAAGUUAUGAACCUGUGGGGAACACGUAAAUCCUAGUUACUUUGAUUAAUUUAUUAAAACCCAACAUUAAAAGCUUUUAAGUGUCUCUUUCAAGUUUGUUGUUUAUUUUCACUUAUUUAGAGAUAGAACCCCCCCUUUUUAUAUUUUUAGUUUCCAAGGAAGUUAUUGACCAAACGAUAGUAAUAAUAGGUUGAAGUUAAGUCUAAGCUAUUUUCCUCGUGGGAACGAUCCCAAACUCACUAGUUGGGUUAUUUACUUGACACGACCACUUUACUUCUUAUUUGAGAAGUAUGUUUGACCGUAUUAAAUUUUGGCGCCACUGCCGGGGAAUGUAGCUUUUAGAUUAACUUGAACUUAUUACUAUAGUUUAGUUGAUAUAUUCUUGAUUUUAAUUUGUUUUAUUGUUUUUGAUUUCCUUUAAGAACUAUCCUCCUUGUAUGCAAAAUACAGAGAGGGAGAGAACCCUUGUUUCCCUACGAUCACGAGCUAGAGCGUACACUGCGCAAUAUGAAUCAAAACUGGGGAAUAAAUGAUGAGGAUCCAAACCAGAACAUCCCAGAUCCAGUGGAUGUUCAUGGUCAGAUGUUACGCGAUGCUACGGGUGAACAUAAAUAAAGGGGACAAAAUCCCGUUCCACGGCCUCAAGCAUACUACAGAGGGUAUGAUAACAUAAAUGACUCGGAUGGGCCACUUGUCUUGCCACCUCUACUCACAGGCCACACUUUUGUGGUAACUAGUAGCCUGAUGCAAAUGCUCACUGCCAGAGGUUUGUUUUCAGGGCUACCUUGUGAGGAUCCACAUGCCCAAAUAGCUAAGGUAAGGGCAGUGUGUAAAAGUUAUGUGGGGAGGCCUGAUUUGGAUCUAGAUGUAAUAGGUCUCAGAGUGUUUCCUCUCUCACUGACGGGAGAGACUGCUAUGUGGUUCACUGAGCUCCCAUACAACUCCAUCUUCACUUGGAACCAACUAAGGGAUGUCUUCUUAGCAUGCUACUAUCCGGUCUCCAAGAAAUUAAACCACAAAGACAGGGUGAACAACUUUGUGGCACUACAAGGAGAGUCAGUUAGUAGUUCUUGGGAUAGAUUCACCUCAUUCUUGAGAAGUGUUCCAAAUCACCGUAUAGAUGAUGAGUCACUGAAGGAAUACUUUUAUCGGGGACAUGAUGAUAACAAUAAAGCGGUGUUGGACACUAUAGUAGGUGGAUCUUAUGGAGAAUGCCCUUAUGCUGAGAUUGCAGAAAAACAAAAGAAAAUCUCCCAAAAUAACAAAGCUUGGAGUACUAGGAAGUCCGAUACAGGGAGAAAUACCUUCGCAGUGCAAUCCACUCACAACCCACCCACAGAUGAGAUUCGUGAUGAAAUGGCUCAGAUGAGAACUGAGCUUGUGUUGGUACUAAAUCAUGUCACAGGGGUGCCAAAAAGAUAACUGCAGUCAACUACUUGGCUAAACCACCACCUCCUAAUGAUGAGUGCUAUUAUGCGGAGGACACUUAUGCAUUGAAUGAGCAGAGGGGGGGUUUCCGACAAAGCGCCCAAGGCUCAAAUAAGGAUAACUAGCGCCAAGGUCAAGGAAAUCCAGGUCGGAACUAUGGUAACUACAACCGUGAGGGUCAUUAUGUCCUUGAUAAAUACUACAACCGCAACAACAACUUUAACAAGAGUAACUAUGCUAAUAGAAAUGACAGGAAUGGGCCCUGUGUCCCUUCUCAAAAUCGUGAAGUUACUCCUAGGGAUGGUGGAGAUAGCAUGGCGCGAGUUGAGGAUAUGUUGCACAAAAUGAUGAGGAGGUUCGACACUAGUGAUGAACACAUUAAAGAGUUGAGGUGUGAUUUAGCUAGUAUUGGGCAAAAAGUUGAUACACAUGCAAUUUCGAUUAAACAGAUUGAAUUGCAAGUGGCCCAAUUAUCUACGACUGUGAACACACGGCAACCAGGCACUCUUCCUAGCAACACUGUCCAAAAUACAAAGAAUGAUGCGCACUAUAUGCCAAUCACUACUCGGGGUGGUAGGCAAACCAUUGACCCACCUAUGCCAUAUACUGAGGAAAAUGUGAGAAAGGAUAUUGAUAAUGUGGUAAGGGGUAGUGGUGAAGUAGAGGGAAGUAAUGGAAAAGAUUCAGAAGUACCUAUCAAGGUAAUUCCCAUGCCUAGGCCACCACCACCCUUCCCUCAGAGAUUAAUGAAAAAGACCGAGGAUGGUAAAUACCGGCGCUUCAUAACAAUGUUGAAGCAGCUCUCUAUCAAUGUCCCUUUUGUAAAAGCUCUAGAACAAAUGCCCGGUUAUGCCAAAUUCAUGAAAGAUCUGGUCACAAAGAAAAGAUCGGUCAAUUUUGAGGAUGAUGAUAGAUUGCAGCAUUGUAGUUCUAUUGCUACAAGAUCCCUAGUACAAAAGAAAGAAGAUCCGGGUGGGGUUCACUAUUCCUUGUAUAGUAGGGUCAUUACAUUUUGCGAAAGCAUUAUGUGAUCUGGGGGCAAGCAUAAAUCUCAUGCCCCUCUCAAUUUACAAGAAGUUGGGUUUGGGGGAUCGAAAACCCACUGCGAUGCGGCUACUAACGGCCGAUCGGACAGUGAAAAGGCCCAUAGGGAUACUCCAUGAUGUGCUAGUAAACGUGGAGUCAUUCAUCUUUCCAGCUGAUUUUGUUAUUCUUGAAUGUGAGGUCGAUUUUAAGUGCCUAUUAUUCUUGGGAGACCAUUCCUUGCUACAGGUAGAGCCUUAGUUGAUAUGGAGAAGGGACAGAUGACAUUUCGGUUGAAUAAUGAAGAAGCCACCUUCAGCAUUUGUAGGACCAUGAGGCAGAGUGGUGAGCUCCAAUCGGUAUCUGCCAUAUCUCACAAAGAAAAGAUGAAGAAGGAGACUGAACAGAAAAAUGCAAAACAAGAGUUCAUGGUUGGGGAUUAUGUGCUUGUAGACAGUUCUAGGGUGCCUUGUCUUCCGGGCAAGCUCAAGUCCAAAUGGACAGGCCCUUACUUGACUACCCAAGUAUUCCCUCAUGGGGAAGUUGAGUUAAAAGCCAAGGAGGGAGUGCAUUUUAAGAGGAAUAAAGAUAGAAUAAAACUCUAUUUUGGGCAUAAAGCAUCGGGGAAUGAAGCGAUAGAGGCAUACCAUCUUGAUGAAGUCUGAGUAAUCAAGUGUCCCCAGUCGUGCCGCGACAUUAAAUCAGGUGCUUGUUGGGAGGCAACGCAGUACUUAUCGUCUUUUUAGUAAUGGUAGCAUUUUUCUACAAAUGGGUUUUAAAUUUGUAGGCAAAUCACCAGGAAAUUCUGCAGAAAAUUACUCUGCAGCAGUCACUGAUGGACACAUCGACGAAUUGUUGCGCCUGCGACGGACCGCCGUAUGCAUCCGUUGUACCAGGUACGUUUUUGUGUCAUUAUGAAAUUAGGUCACACACGACGGAACCAACGACGGGUCGUCACAACUUUGAUGGACCGUCGUCGGGGAACCGUCGCGUGAUUAAUGAGGUACACUUGACCCCACCCGGCUAGACCCUUUUCCAAAAUAAGACCGUUUAAACUCCCCACCCCUUCAUAUUUCACCACAUUACUUCAUUAUUUCUCCCAUUACUCUCUCUUUUCAACAUUCCACAUUCCCUCCCUCCGAUAAUUGCCCCCAUCACAAUUCUCCCAAGCCCUAAAGUGUUAAUCUACUAGUGAAAACUGCUGCUGUGGGUGUCUACCUUGCCACCGAGUACUUGUGCAUUUGUUUUUCUCCUUUUCUAAGGUCUGUGUCUCUAAUUUAUACUCAUUUAUCUUGCAUUUGUGUUUACUAAUUAGUAUUAAGCUUAGUUCCUCAUUGUAUUUUGUUUACUUUAGAUGACUCUGCCUAACCUAGGUUACAAACGUUCGAAAUUGCCAUGUUUACAACCUUAGACAUAGGUACUUUUUCAUUGCUAGUUUCCUAGUUAGUUGGGUUAGACACAUAUAGGUCAAAAACACUACAAGGUUAAUGUGGGUUCAUCGGGGAUGCUUAGGGUACCCUUAGUUCUGUCUAUGUCAUGCAGAACGAGACCCUGAUGACGGACCGUCGUACCCACGACGGACCGUCAUAAGGUCCGUUGCAAAAACCCUAGCACACUGCAUAUGUCACUGACCGUCGUCUUCACAACGGUCCGUCUUGCACAACCGUUCUGGUUCUCAGAGACCCUGCUACUACGGGUCUCUCAUUCUUUUCCCAAGUGUUACCCAACAGACACAUGUGGCGGACCGUCGUAUUCACAACGGUCCGUCCUGCACAACCGUUCAGGUUGUUAGAGACCCUGUUUCUACGGGUCUCUCAUUUUUUUUCUAUGUGUCCUUCAACGGACACAUGUGACGGACCGUCGUACCCCCGACGAUCCGUCCUGCAUGACCGUCAGAGACCCCUCUCCUAAGGGUCUCCAUAUUUUUUCUCAAGUGUCCUAUGAUGGAAAUUUAUGACGGACCGUCGUGCGUGUGACGGUCCGUCCUGCACACACUGUCAUGCUAGUCAGAGAGUCUCCUUCAGGGUUCUCUAUAUAUACAUAGUCCAAGUAAAACACGACGGACCUCACGACGGUCCAUCAUAGUCACGACGAGCCGUCACCAGUCCUGUCGUGUGUUACUGUUUCUACAGCAAUUACAUACUAUUUUCACUGUUUUAUUUUGUAUGGUUUCGCUUGUCUUGUGUGCCACUACUCGUCUUAACAGUGAUCCUUUGCAGGUACUAUCUACUAUGGCACCCAAGCAAGACCGAACCUACGCAUGCGGGCGAUCCAAGUCUGUCGCCCUGUCUGCACGUAUGAUCAUCGGCUCUGAUAAUGAGCGGGACCCUGAGUAUGUGCCCCCAAGCACUUCCACACCUUCUCGUGCUGCACGAGCUCCCAGAGCCACACCUAAAAAGGUGGCGUCCGGCGUAGUCACUGCCUCCCACUCUGAUGAGGAGCGCACAUUGACCGGCACACCUUCUGGGUCGGCCACAAAUGAAGAAGGAGCGACUGGAUCCUUAGGAAUAUCAUGGUCCGAGGAAGCCUCUGGCACUGCUGAGGUUCCUGCACCCGCCACUGCUGCAGCGUCGGCCUCGUCUGAUGAGGCUGACACUUCAGAUUCCACAUCCCGUACACCAGCUUAGGUCCCCACCCCACCCUAAUAAGCCGAACCGUUGGUGUGUCGACGGCCAGUUCCAAGUCUACUCCGACGCCAUGUUCCUGACUGAUAAAGGAGUGAUGACUGGAACACUCACUUUGGAGCGGCCGGUACUUAUUGUGAGUCUCCCAACGAUGCCCGAGAUCCACAACCUCUUCACCAGGCAUCACUUGGAGUGGACAGCACGUCCGUUGGGACGCUACAGCGAGGAAAUGGUCCGAGAUUCUACGCAUCCUAUGUAGAAACUCUCCGAUCACAGAUUGAUAGGUGGGCUGCCCCGCUAAACAGGCCCCACUGGAGUAGGUCCGAGUCUGGGGCGUGCAGGUUGACAUUUCCCUGCCAGCCAUCUGCCGGUUUCUAUACGGCGAGUGUUUUGAUGCCACUUGGACUCCCCCACUGCCGAGUUUGACUACCGCUGGCAGAUAGUGAAGGAUGGCCAGUUCUUGCGCGAGCCAGCACUGAGAGAGACCACCAAGAGGUGGAUGGCCCUGAACCAAUCAGUCGAUGAAGAGGGUGCCGAUUGGGUGACUGAGCCGAAGUGGGCCAUCAAGAAGGCCAACCUCACGUUCACAGCAAAAUUCAUGUGGCUGCUUGUCCGUCACUGCCUGUCCCCCAGAGCUGCUGAUAACAUCGUUACUUGGGAUCGAGCAGUGUUGAUGGCGUCAAUGAUAGCCGGAUUCGAGCUGGAUUUCGCAUGGCUUCUCCAGGCAGUCAUGCACGAGAGGGAAUUCAAGGUCACUACUACCUACCCUUUCCCGUGCAUGAUGUUUGCCCUUUGCAGGUCCGCAAGUGUGCCUAUAUGGCAUGUAGAUCAGCUGAAGACCCCGCAGGGCACUGUUGACAUCGGCCUCAUCAGAGAUGAGGCCAAUGAGUUGGAUCCACGCAUAGGGCCUCGUCCAGAGCUGCCCCCACUUGCUGAUGAUCUUGCUGAUACGGUAGCCCAGGCCUGCACAGCCACACAGGCGUCCACUGACACUACCCCGGUCGAGUCUAUCCCGGGUAGUAGUACAGCCCGGAGAUCCUCGCGCACAGCCCCUCUACCGGUACUGGUCCCGCUUGCUAAGGUCAAAACACUAGAGGCACAAAUGGCCACUCUUAUGCAUCAUAUCCGGCCGUGGAUGCAGAAGUCGAUUACUGAGUCUGAAGCGCCUCGAGAGAGGAUGAUGCAGCAGUUUACAGAGCGGAAGAUUGUUAAGGUCAACCAGCGCCUGGACGCCUUUGAAUUGAGAGUGUUAGCCCGACCAGCCCUCCGGUGGAUGUGUCGACUCUUCAAGCUGCAGUCGAUAGUCUUCGUGCAGACAUCGACACGAUCCUAGAGGUGAGGGUGCCGAAGUCUGAGGCCCCAUUCUGUCGAGCCUGCUGAGGACACUGUGUUGUCGGCCUUGUUUACUACUUCAGAAAUUCCAUUACCUCCCCCUCGAUACAGUGCCAAGAGGCGUAGGGGUCGAGUAGAGGAUGAGGCGUGAGCAAUGAAGAAGGAGCGCCGAGAGAUGGAGGUUGAGAGGAGAGCCUCACUUGCUGAGGAGGAGGCACACCAGAUUAGAGCAUCACAGUUAGUGGCUGGGGCGUAUAGCUCCUGCACUGUAGAGAUAGCAGGAGGCACUACUGAUGGUGCGGUUGUUGCUGAGGACACCACUGAGGGUGUCCAGAUUGCAGAGGACGUGGGUUCCGGGGAAUCGCACCCACAAGCUUGCUGAUCGACGGCGCUUUGCGCCACAGGUUUGCUUCACCUACCACUCUAAUAUUUAGAUUUUUUUAUGCAUUGGGGACAAUUGCAUGCUUUUUUGUUGGGGUGGGGUAAAUGGAAAGUGAGUGUUAGGGUGAAGUCUGAGUAUCCCAACUCACUAUCCUCUUUUGGGGUUUUCUUGCCUGUGUUCUUUUUCUCCAAAAGACUGAUUACUUUUCUGUUGAACCGGCAUGUUUAUAUCUUUUGUACAUAGUUUAACUCUGAAGCAUGAUGGCUAAAAUGAUAUCCUGAUAAAACUGGAAAAUGUUGCAUGACUAGGCAUAGUAACUGAUAAUUGUGUGGCUCUAAGCAUUAAAUAGAAUUACACCAUUGCAUUACCCUAAGUCUUCAAUUCGAACUAGGUGUCUAAUAAUCUGGUAUAGUGAUGAGAUGUCAAGUGAGUGUGAGGAAAUUUGAUUAGUCCACUAUUGGUACUGAGCUAGAACUUGCCUGGUUAGUCCUGCUAAAAAUAAGCUGUAACAGACAAUUAGGAAAGGAUCAUAGGCCCUUAUUCAAGAUAGCCCAUUUAUAGCCUAAAUAAAAGAAACCAAAUGAAAGUUAUCCUUAUUUGAUCCAAAUAAUCUGAGCUUAAAAUUAGUCCUUUCUUUUUCACCCUAACUUAUCUUUUCUGGGAACAAUAUGUUGGCCCUGGUCCCUCCUUGGACAUGUGCACCUCAGCUUAAAAGCAUAAGUUUAGGGUGGCUAAUGCAUAAACAACCUUUGUUAUGGCCCUGACCCAACUUUGGGUAUUGUGUACCUUGACUCAUGGCAAAGCCAUGAGUCGAGGGUGGCUAUUUUGAGGAAUGCUAUGGAAAGUGGGGUUGAAAACACAAACAGAGAGAAAGAACAAAAGUAAAGUGACUCAAGAAUUCGUUGAAAGAAAAGUAAAGAAAAAAAAACAAAAAAAAUGAAAAGAUUCACUUACACAAAUAAAGAAAGAAGGGAAAAUAGAAAGGUGAAAGAAUAGGAGAAACUGGGCGAGAUAAAGUGAUAGAAAGUGGAAGGUUUAGCCGAUAUGUCUAGGAGGGCAAAAAGUCACCAAAGUAUACUUAAAUAAACUCUACAUUACUAUGAAACUAUGUUACAAGCUAAGAAAGUCCUAUCGUGAUCAUAAGGGUUGUAUACCGAACAUAAGGCAGUGAAAAUAAGGGCAAGAUUAUGGCAAUAGGUAUGAAUGUGUGUGACUUUGUUCUGAGAGCGAGUGUUGAAAAGCAAUCCUUAUACUAAGACUGAAAUCAUUGUGUGAAAAUAAGAAUUUCGUUUUGAAGUGAGGACACUAGUUGCAAUACCGGAGUUGUUAGCACCUCGGUGAGAAAUUGAAGAGGAUAGGUGUUAGUGCAUGGUGAGUCUGUGUCAUGUUCUAAUCCCACAAAAUUCAAGCCUAACAGUGAUAGCAUGCAUAGAUUUGAUGAGAUUAAUCGGGAUUGAUAGCCAAAUGAUUGCAAAGGAUAAAACAUGGAUACUAUUGUACAAAGAUUAUGUAGUGAAUCAUAGUGCGUCGCUUGAGGACAAACAACGAAUUUAAGUUGAGGGUGUUGAUAUAUCGUGGUUUCACGGUAUAAUUAAUACUUUUUCCUUAAGAUUAGUGUGUCCGAAAGUCUUUUUGUGCUAGUUUUUAUAUGAGUUUCUCUUUGUUUUGCAGGAAAUCUGUCAAAAGUUGAAUGCGGAGAUUUUGAGCAAAGAAAUGCAGAAGAGACCACCUAAGGAGCUGAUGACGGUCCGUCGUGCUUGUGACGGUCCGUAGGUGGCAGCGUAGAGAAGCUGCUGAAGGAAGAUGGGGAAGUCUUACCAAGUGUGGUGUUACGUAGCUUGUGACGGUCCGUCCUGGCUAUGACGGUCCGUCCAGCAGGUUCGUCAUGAAGUUUAGAUAAGUGAUCCCAGUACCCAGAUUCUAAGAGUUGAAGUGUUUUGAAACGAAGACUCUCGACGGACUGUUGUGCCUAUGACGGUCCGUUAUACUUGCCGUCGAGGGGAAUGAAGAGAGCAGGAGAAGAAAUUGCAAAGUAUGGGACGACAGAGUCCAUGACGAUCCGUCGUGACUACGACGGUCCGUCGCGUGUUCCGUCGAUCCAGCCGCGUUUUGGCUGAUUUCCAGCAAAUAGAGUCCUUGGAUAAUUAGGUUUUUAUUUUUUAUAAAUAGUUCGAAAAACCUCGUUUUUGAGGUUACACUCCGUAUUGUUAGGCUCCAAAGUAUUAGAUUUUUGGAUUGUUGGAUUAUUGGAACUUGUGAUUGUUGAUUAGUGUUAGAUUUUGACAUUCAUAGAAGUGAUUUUUGGUGAUUAAUCAAGCAAACUUUAGGACUCUAUUCUUUCUCAUUGAAGUAAGUACAUGAAGUCUUAUUUAAUAUAUUUGAAUAUUGUGUUUAUGGCUAUGAGUAACUAAACUCCAUAACUAGGGUUGUGGGAACCAUAGGCAAAUAAUGAGAUAAACCCUAAUUAAAUGAACAAUUCUAGAAUAUUGUCUUGCAUGUAUUAAUAAUUCUUUCGUUUAGAAGUCUUUUUAACGGAUGGCCAACGUUAGAACUCGCCUUAAUGCUACUUGCCGGACCAAGGAGGUAGAUAAUAGGAAAAGAAUUAUUAACAUAGAUUUACUGUAUACUAUCUAAUAGGCUAGUAUUGAUUGGUACGAGGUAAUAACUUAGUCAAAUAUCGAAUACGAUGCUUAAUAUGAGGUAAGGAUAAGGGUUAGGAUAGCAACACACGUAGCCGGACCAAGGUGCAAAGUGAGAUUUUCUAGAUGCCGGACCAAGGAUUUAGAAAUACAUAACUUAUCACUUUGCAGGCAAGAUACUAGGAAAGAAUUGUUAUUGUUAGAAUUAUCAAGAUAUGAACCAGUGGGGAACACGUAAACCCUAGUUACUUUGAUUAAUUGAUUAAAACCCAACAUUAAAAGCUGUUAAGUGUCUCUUUCAAGUUCGUUGUUUAUUUUCACUUAUUUUGAGAUAGAACCCCCUUAUUAUAUUUUUACUUUCCAAGGAAGUUAUUGACCAAACGAUAGUAAUAAUAGGUUGAAGUUAAGCCUAAACUAUUUUCAUUGUGGGAACGAUCCCAAUCACACUAGUUGGGUUAUUUACUUGGCACGACCGCUUUACUUCUUAUUUGAGAAGUAAGUUUGAGAAUAUCAGGGAGGAUAUCCAAUCCCUGAUUAUCAUCCAUCAUAACAAACGUGUUGCAUGAUUCCUCCCUCUUUUCCUGUCCCUAAUCACUGGCAAUAGUUUGUAGCUUAUUCUGUCUCCUUUUAGCAGCAUCCCUUUUCUUUUUACUUGUCUUCUUUUUGCUCUUAGGGUUCUUACUGGAGUAGAAGUAUCCACUUGUUUCCCUUUAUCACUAUUUUCCUCCUUCUUUAGACUAUUAUUUUUCCUUAUUAUUUUCUGAAUCUUGUUUUGUGUUAUCUCUAUUCUGACUUUGCUGCUGUUGUUUCUCCCUUUGUUACUACCUGUUUUUUGGACUUACAGAGGCUCUAAGGUCAGUCCUAUUGUCAACCAACCCCUCAUGAAGAACAUGAGGCAAACACACCCUAUGGUAACCAUAUCCUGCAAGUUAGUGGUUUUCUCCUAACACCCCUCAUCCAUACCUCCAACAUCUUCACUAAAACCAUCAUGAAUAGUAGUAAUGUUGGGGGAAUGGGAGUUGGGAGCAUUGGGUCAAUACCUGUGCUCUUGUGAUUGUAAUUUGCAGUAGCCUGCUGCUUUUGUUUCUUCUUUAUGUUAUUUCUUUUUGUGCAAGCUGGGCUGUUAUUAGCCCCCUUUUUUUCUGAUUCUGUUGUGUUACUUCUCAACUUGUGUGCUCGUCCACAGUAUUUUAUGUCCUUUGUUAUUCCUAUAUUUCAAGGUUAGAGAAAAUAUUUUGAGUUGGGAUAUUAGUCAUACUUGUUAUUUCCUGUUCCUCCUGAUGGUUGUCUUUGAUUUUUUGUGUUUGUGGUGAAACUAGUCUCCAAACAGACUUGGAGUUAGUAAUUUCCUGAUUUUUAUGCUGUUUCUUUCUUUGAGCAUGCCACUAUUCUUCCUGCAACUCUACCUGCUGGUCUUGUUCAUUCUGAUUGAAGGUGGUUUUCCCAUGUUGAUGGCUUGUAAGUUGUUUUCCCUGACUGAUUCUAGUUUUCCUCCCUGUUCAGCUGAUUUUGUGUCUUUGCAACUGCCUCAUUUGUAAUUUUUGUCUGUUCUUGAGCAUGUUUAUUUCCAGUCUGCUCCUUAUUCUUUUUUCAAGAUUCUAACUCCUUUAUUUUUUUGAACACAUCCUCCCUCCUCUUAACUGUACAUUCCUCUUUCAUAUGGCCUUGAUUCUUACAGUACGAAUAGUAAUUAGGAAUCCCCGCAUAUUCCACCUUCAACCAUCUUUCUUUGUUGGGGUUUGAGCUUUUAAAUCCCUUCUAAACAUGAGAAGGUCUAGCUUUGGUAAGAUCCACUUGAACUUUAACUCUAGUAGUGCUACCUCAAGUCCUUUGGGAGGUUGGUGAGUCAAGGAAAAGUACCUUCCCAAUAGAUUCUAAAAUAGUAGUUAAUAACACGUUGUUGUAACAGUGCUAAGGAAGUCAAGGAAUAUCCACCCAUAUGGGAACAAUGGGGGUUUCCUCCUCCGGUGUAAAAUCUGGGGUCCAAGCUUUAAUUCUCAUCACUUGUCCCUCAAUAUUCAUCCUAUGUUUUUUCCAAACACUUUGGUAAUCAAACUCAUUGUCUAAGUCAAUGAAUACAUGCCUACAAUUAAAGUGUGUGACCUUCACACUCGCGUAUUCGUAAACUUGCUCACAAAAGUAUAUUUACAAACUUCCGCCAACUUCAUAUAAUAAUCAUUUUCAUCCACAGUACAAAAGGAAACCCUUGUCUAGUAGUAUGUAUUGGAUCAUUUUAAAAAAUUGGGAUUUCUUUUUUAGCUUGGUUAUAUCUCAAUCUAGCAGCAACUGAUUUCACAACUGCAUAGGGUGCUGGUUCUGAAUUUUUCCCAUUUUUCAGAUUGUUGGUAUUUUGACGGUGCAGUUGGCUAUUAGAGUUUCUAGCAGCUGCCUGAACCACAUUAGUCUCCUGCUUAUUACUUCUAUCAGAUUGAGGAUUAGAUUCAUACCUGGAGUAGUUACUUGAUAAUUUUGGGAAGUUGUUGCGAUAUUCCACAUUUGUUCGAUUGGUUUGCUUUAAUGGGAUGCUUUCUCCUUUAUUAUAGGUGUUCCUACCCUGAUCCGUUUUUUUCCCAUCCUUUCCUUGACCCUAAUCUGAGCUAUGCUUGCCUCCCUCAGCAGUCCUUUUCUGCUGCGAUUCCUUGCCCGAGUGCUCUUGCCUUCGCAUUUUCAAGUAUUUGUCUUGAGUGUUCUUGCCUUAGCAUUUUUAAAUUCCCAUACUCUUUUCCAUUCUCAUCUUGUUUGUUUAUGGUAUGUGAAUUACGUUCAUUCAACUUGGAAGAUUGGUAAGAAGAAUUUCCUACAAUGCUAAAUGAAAAGUUAGAUGAUGUUGUUUCAUUUGAUAUUACUGCUGUAUGCUUCCUCAACGUGUUCUUGGUAUUGUCCUGCUACUCAAUCGAGUUUUCCCCAUGUCGAAUUUCUGUUCUUUCUCCUUUUGAUGUUGUUUCGAUUGAAUGGGAGACUUCAAUAAUGUUGUUUUGUGUAGCACUUCGAUGAAGCAUGGGGUUUUCCCCCUUCACUUCCUUGAUUUCAUAAUGCGAUUUGCACUUAGGAUCAGUAGCGGAUGUUCGAUUGUUGUUGUUGUUGAUUUCACCCUUAUGUUUGUUGGAAAUAUCAGUUAGAUGGAUGCUCUUGGCCUUAGAAACAGUCCCCUCCGACGAAUCUCCAAGAUUUCUGACAUUUGGAGCUCUAUUUUUGCCGAAAAUCUCCUUGCCGGCGAUUUGACUGUCCAUUUCACUUGAAAUUUGAUUGAGAUGGACCUUAUCUUUAGGACAUAAAACCCCAAUGGUUGAAAAAUUAUGAAUUUGACAGGAAGACGAUCGAAUCAGGCUGCACAACUCAGGCGAUGCACUCGAGAUUCUUUCGAAUGUCGCCUUUCGAUUCUAAUAAAUUGCAGCGAUGGAAUUCGCUGAUUUUUUACUAUCUUGUAGAUCUUGAUGAGGUGAAUCCAUUUCCAUAACUCUUUCAGCUCGAUUCAAAUUAGAAUAUUCUAGGGGAAUGAUUACAUGUUCUCUAUCAAAUUCCAUUUCAGAAAAUGUAGUAUUCAUUUGAGAAUUCGGGGAGAGAAAAUUUAAAGAGACAAAAAAAUCUGGAAAACGAGGUGACUUGGUAUUUUGGGCAUAGAGUGUUGGUUUUAUUGUUUAGGGUUAGGGUUAGAAUUAAGGUUAGGGUUAUUGUUAGGGUUAGGGUUUAGGGUUUUUAUUAGGUUUUAGCUUUUGGGGUUAAAAGAUUUUUUGCUUAGUGUUUUAUGUUUGGUUAUCUUAUUUUGGACUUAGAUUUUUUUUGGACAUAGGGUUUAGGAUUUGCGGUUAAGUUUAGGGUUAGGGUGUAGGUUUUUUUAGGUUUUAUGGUUCAGGGGUUAGCAUUUGAGGUUUAAAAUCUAUGGUUUUGUAUUCAAUGUUUGGGUUUUUUUGGGGUGGGGGGCUUUCUAAGUAGCCUCUCAUUCCAGUUACCAUCUAUAAGAAAAUCAUCUAUAAUACUGUUAUUCAGGCUAGAUACAUGAUCACAAUGCAGAGCUAAUGGUUUAUCUAACCAACAAUCCCACCAAAAACUGCAAGUACCAGACUUAAUAUGCCAUUUAAUAAGAGAUUCCACAUUUUGUCUAUUUCUAGUUAGGUAUCUCCAUACAAUAGAAUCCCCAGUAUCAUAUUUUUUAGCCACUGGAUUGGCUCUUUGAUUAUAUUUGGCUUUCAAGAAUUGGCUCCACAAAGAAUUCUUGGUUCGAAAUGCCCACCACUGCUUAUAUUGGAAGGCAGUACAGACAUCUUCAAUCAACCUCAAACCAAUGCCUCCUUCAUUAGUUGGAUAAGCCAUAUUACAAUCUAUGCCUAUUCAUACUCUUGCUGCAAUAUCUCCUCCAAAGACUACUUUCAACAGUAUUAAAAAAGUUAUUGCUGAUUUCUUUUGGGGUAUAGAGAAGGAUGGUAAGAAGUACCAUUGGUCUUUUGGUUUUAGGGUUUAGGGUAAGGGUUAAGGUUAAGGAUAGGGUUAGGGUUACGGUUUUGGGUUUUUAUAGAUUUUUGGGUUUAGGAUUUAGGAUUAGAGGUUUAAUAGCAACGGUUCACUGUUUAAUGUUAGGAUUUUGGUUUUAUGACUUUGGGUAUAGAGUUUAUGACAAGUUAGGGUUAGGUUUAAUGUUAGGGUUAGGGUUAGGGUUCAGGUUGUUUUCAUGGUUUUACGGUUCAGGGUUAAAAAUUUGAGUUGUAAUAUCUAUGAUUUAGUGUUUAAUGUUAGUGUUUUCGUAUUUUAGGCUUUGGUUUUACGAUUUAGGGUUAGAGUUAAGGAUAUGGUUAGGUUUAGGGUUCGUGUAAGGGAUAGGUUUAGGGUUCAUGCAAGGGAUAUUGUUAGUGUUAGGGUUUAGGGGUUUUAAGGUUUUAGGCUUUAAGGUUUAGGAUUUUUUUUAAAAAUCUACGGUUUAGUGUUUGAUAUUUGGGUUUUCAUAUUUUGAGCUUAGGGUAUCGGGUUAAUGGUUUAGCGUUAGUGUUAGGUUUAAGGUUAGGGUUAGGGGUUAGAUUAGGGUUAGGGUUAGGGUAAAGGUUAUUUUUUAGGUUUUAAGGUUUGUGGUUUCGGAUUUGAUUUUUAAAAUCAAUGGUUUAGUGUUUAAUGUUUGGGUUUUCUUAAGUUUGACUUAGGGUUUUCUUACGGUGUAGUGUUAGGGUUAGGCUUAAAGUUAGGAUUAGGGUUAGGGUAUAGGUUUUUUUUUUGAUUUUAUGGUUUAGGGUUUAGCAUUUGUGGUUUAAAAUCUAUGGUUUAGUCUUUAAUGUUUGUGUUUUCAUACAAUGGACUUAGGGUUUUUUUACGCAAGGUUUAGGGUUUAGGGUUAGGUUUUAGGCUUUAGGAUUUAGGAUUUGAGGUUUAUUAUCAAUGGUUUAGUGUUUAUUGUUUGGGUUUUUGUAUAUUGUUCUUUGGGUUUAGGGUUAGGUUUUAGGUUGUUUUUUUGGUUUUACGGUUUGGGGUUAAGGAUUUGAGUUCUAAUAUAUAAGGUUUAGUGUUUAAUGUUAGGGUUGAAGUAUUUUCGGUAUUGGAUUUAAGGUUUAGGAUUUAGGGUUUAUUGUUAGGGUUAGGAUUCAUGUUAGUGAUAUUGUUAGGAUUACGAUUUAGGUUUUUCUUUAGGUUUUAGGUUUUGAGGUUUUGCAUUUUUAUGUUUAAAAUCUAUGGUUUAGUGUUUAAUGUUUGGGUUUUGGUAUUUUGAGCUUUAUUUUUUUUAGUUCAAUUACCAUAGGAGGGGUAGGGCCUGAGCAACCCUCCUAGGCCUUAUCAUUAUUAACAAAAACAAAAUAGAAGGAGGGGGACAUAAACCUAACCUCCAACCUAAGAUUUUUUAGAGUCAACUUAUAUAAAGGAAAUCAACUCCAACCCUUAACCAAAAGAUGAAACCAAAAUACUAAGCACCUAAGGAGAUGACUCCUCUCAAUAACACAGUAUCUAGGAAGCAUAAUAAACUAGGGUGACUCUCCCUUUACAAGAAAGCCUAUAAACUAAACUAACCUAUUCAAAGUAGCUAUAAUUUUAAUUAUAGCUCAGUUGAAAAGAUAUAAAACCUCAAGGAGACUAAAAAUUUCUCUUUGUCUUCCUUCUUCUAUAGUUAGGCUUCUCCAAUAAUUCAAGUUGAUUGUAGGCUUUUGCUUCUUUCGGUAGUUGGUGGCUGUUGAGAUAUACCUGAGUAGUGGCAAUGAUGUGACUUUGUUUUUACAAUGCAUCUGCUACGCAAUUUACUUCUCUGAAUACAUGAAUGCAUUUGAAGUUGUGUACUUGAUUGAUAAGAUGUUGCAGCCUUCCAAGUUGAGUGAUAAUACUCCAUUGAGGGACUGCCUUCUUUAGGACCCAUUGCACUACUAGUUGAGAAUCAAAUUCAAAAAUUAUGUUCCUGUAUCAAAGCUCAAGUUCCCAAGUUAAAUGAAAGAUGGCUCCCGCUAUUUUUGAGCUUUGUUGUUUGUUCCUUCUCCAAGUGGUGUUGCGAAAGCCAUCACCACUUUGCCUUGUUUUUCUCUAAGGGUUUCCCCAGCCUGCCAGGGUUCAUGAGUGCACUUCCACCAGUGUUCACUUUGAGCCACUGAUCUGCAGGUUUAAGCCACUUCACCAUGCUCACUUUGAUGUCAUGCACACACUUUUCACUCUUUAGCAUUAAGUCUGUCCACAUAGACGGCCAGUUAAGUUGAGGAAAUGCAGUGUUCAACAUCUUGUAGUUGUCCUUGUAGAUUGCAUAUUUAACUCUGCUGAUGUUUGUUGCUUUACAUCCAUACUUGCAGGCACACCUAUUCUUCCACAGAUUUAGCAGAUGAAUAUUGGCGUAGCUUGUGGCAGCAGUUUGUGGGCUGCAUUUCCAGGCUUUGCUCUCCACCAUUAUUGUAGGAGUUGCUGUAGUGAAGAGUGGUAUGGCUGUAGGCCUGCACUACCUGUAAAAAAGUUCCAUACCUUGGCUGCAAAUUUCCCUGAAUUGAAUGUAUGUUCUAUGAUGUCCAUACCUGCUCUAUCAAGACAACAAAAACAAUGUGAUGGCUCAACGCCAAAGUUAGUCAAUCUUUCAUUUGUAUGGAGUUUACCCCUUAGGUUUAUCCAUAAAAGAAAAGAAGAUUUAAAGGGAAUGUUUUUAUGCCAUAGCAUUGAGUUAAAUUGAUUCUUGGCUCUUUUGUUUCUGAUUCCUUCCCAAGAUGAACAACAACUAAAACUGCCAUAGUUAUUGACAUUCCACACUGGUUGAUCAGGUAGCUGCUAUUGUGGACAGAUUUGUGUUGCCAGGAUGUAGGAGAAUUGACUAGGAGGAGCCUGGUGUAACAGUUUGCUCCAACUCUACUUCCCCUCUUCCAAAAAUUCAUCCACAGUAGAAUUAUUAAUUCUGUUGCUAUUGGUGGUAAACGGAGCUAGUGGUUCACUGCCCAGCCAAUUAUCCCACCAAAAUGAAUAGUUCACAGCUUGAAGCUUCCAAUGGAUGUAUUGCUCGACAUGUCGUCUGUUCCUAAGCAUCUGUUUCCAGGUCAGUGAAUCUCUAGUAUCCCCUUUUUUCCUUAUUGUAUUUGAUAUUUGACACUAUUUUGCUCUCAAAAAUUCUCCCCACAGUGUUUGUUUUGUUCUUAAGAUCCACCAUUGUUUGAAUUGAAAGGAUUUGCAAAUAUCUUGCAAGUUUCUCAUUCCCACCCACCUUCAUCAUCAGGGUAACUUAGAUUUUUCCAUGAAGCCUAGGAUACAUAUUUCUAUCAUUUUUCCAUCCCCAGAAAAAAUCAGCUAUAAGCCCUUGGAUUUGCGUGAGUACUGUAUCAGGAGGUGUAACUGCAGAUAGAAGGUGGAUAAAAAGAGCCUGAAGAACAUGUUUUGUAAGAAUUACCUUGCCUCCAUAGCUUAAUUGUUUGGUCUACCAACGUGUAAUCCUGCAAAAAACCUUGUUAACAAGAUCAGAGAAAUAGAUAUUCCUAGUCCUACCAACAAAUAAAGGGCAGCCUAGUUAAUAAAUAGUUCCAUGCUUUUGUUUGAAACCUGUCAGCUUCUUUAUUCUAUUUCUAGUGCUAUUUAAAGCAUUAGAGUGUAGCAUAAAGUGGCAUUUGUCUCCAUUAAUGAGUUCCCAGAAGUAUCUUUAUACUCCUUUAAAGUUGCCAUAAGGAUUUCUAGAGUCUUGCAUCUUACAAAUGUGAAUAGAAUAAUGUCAUCAGCAAAACUCAAUUUAUUCACUUGAGUCCCUCUCAUUUCCCUGAAGAAACCAUAAUAAUUCGAAUGGUUAUAUAGCCUGGUUAGAGAUCUUGAUAGUACCUCAGCACCAAAAAUAAAUCGGGUGUGAGAAAGUGGAUCACCUUGCUUGAGACCUCUUGAGGAGUGAAAGAAACCAUAUCUUUUACCAUUGACAAUGAUUGAUUACCAAUAAUUAGCAAGUAUUUUCCACAUCAUAUGAAUAAAUACCUCAGCAAAUCCCAUUUUCCUUAGCACCAGACAAAAAUAAUAUAAAGAGACUCUAUAAUAAGGUUUUGCCAUGUCUUGUUUAAUGAUGACAUUGCUAACAAUAUUGGCUUUUUUAUUUGGUGAAUAAUUUCCUGAGCAAGCAAUGUUCUCAGAAAUACUUCUACCUUUAAUAAACCCAUAUUGGUUAGUAGAGAUUUAAGUAGGGAGGAUAGGGCUAAGUCUGUUGCUCAUUAGCUUAGAACUGAUCUUUCUAGUGAAGUUACUCAAACUUAUAGGCCUAUGCUCAAUCAUUUUGUUAGGAUUAUUCACUUUAGGGAGCAGCAGAAUACAAGAAUAGGAGAAGUAUUUUGGAAUCAUCUGUCCACUGAAAAAGGCCUAUGCAAUUCCCAUUAGAUCAUUCUUGAUAAUAUGCCAACAUUUUUUAAAGAAGUACCCAUUCAUACAAUCAAGACCAGCUGCUGAAUUAGGAUUUAUAGAGAAAACAACCUCUUUAAGUUCAUCCAUACUUGGAACACAGGUAAGCUGGGUAUUUUGGUCUUGAUUAAUCAUUCUUGGAAUGCAUUCCAAGGUAUGCUCAUUGAUAAGCUUUUCUUCACAGUUAAAGAUUUCUUUGAAGUGCUCACAAGCUACCUGAGCAAUGUUGUCAUCACCUUGUAGCUAGUCUCCAUCCGCCAUUCCAUCUAUAUUACAUUUUGUAAUUCCCGUUCCAUCUUCCAUUCCUUAAGGGUGCAUAUAUGGUUUUUUUCGAAUUGAACAUUGGGAAAAGAGGGUCUAUGAUACUAGUUUUGGGAAUAGUGGAGCCUAUCCUUCACAGCGCAGAUUUUUCCACCCCGAGUUAUUUUGAGUUUCGAGAGCUUGUCAUUUAAUCCUUUCAUGGAUCUUGGGAGAGUUAUUGAAUUCAUUAGAAGGUUUAGAAAAAGCUACAGCUGAGAAUUCAUGGAUUUUGAAAAUGGGACUGGUUUCUAAGUUAAAACCAUUUUUGAAGAACUGAGUUUAUUACUAACCUGAAUGGUACAGCUGUAAUUAUAACUGGAGUCUUCUAUCUCUUUAAAAGCAAAUGAAGAACUUGGUUAGUAUAAUUAUUUUCUUUUAAUACUUUGUUCAUAUCUGCAACAAUUAUAGGGUUGUUGUCCCUUUCUGAAUGCUUUUUGAAAAGAACACCUUUCAAGACUUCAUUUGUGUAAGGAAUAUGAAUAUCUUCAAGAGGAGGAGUUAUACUUUUGACAACUUUAUCUUUGGUAUGUCACUUGUUUAUCAAAACUUGAAGUGAUGAAUUUGUUUCAUCAAUUUGGCCAGAACAUUCAAACCAUUUGAAGAAUUCAAUUUCAGUUUUGAAUCUCUUCAUGUCUUUGAAUCAUUUACCUUUGAAUGAGAUUCUCUGAUCUUAUGUAUAUGUGUCAACAUACCAAGCCUUCUUAAGAGCAUGCAUGGGGUUGUUCCACCACUUACUAAUUUCCUUUUAUCUGGAGUAAAAUUCCCCGUAGAUUUGAUAACACCAACUGAGUCCUUUUUCCUAUGAAAAGAAGGUCUCAUGUCACUGGGAGAAGGACUUCCUUGAGUUGAUUCAUAAUAAACUUUAGGAAUAGUGUUGGUAAAAUCAAAACCCUGAAAUUUACUCUGUUCUAAAGCUUCAAAAACUUCAUCAUCUUCUUGGUUUUUUGAAGAAGACGGUCUAAUCGAAGACAUUCUUCGACUUAAAGAGACAUGGUUUAAAGAGUUGGAUCUUAAAAACAUAAGGUUAAUAGAUCCAUCUGAAAACUGGGCAAUACUUUUUAGCGAUGACCUAGAAGGUUGAAUGGAAAGGAGUUCAAUAAUAGAUUAAAAUUUCUAUUCAUUAUUGGAAAGAAUCUCAUCCCAUUUAAGCAAACGAGGAACAAAGGUAGUACCGUGCUCUUGGUUUGCUUCCAUGAGCAUGGUGACUCCUUUAGCACUAGAGUUAAGAGCCUUUGGGGCUAUUGUAGUCUUCAUUAGCUAUAUACCCUGAUAUUACAACUAUUUCUCUAGUGUAAAUUUUGCUAUUUAUAUUAUUCGUUUUAACGUUAAGCGUCAAGGUAUCUAUGAGAUUAGGGUCGUCGAUGUCAACUAAGAAAUUUGGAUAAAAAUUAAAAUAAACUAGUCCAUUAGCUAGAUUACUUUCAAUGCUACCUAUCAAAGAGUCAUCAAUAUUGAGAAGUCUAGCAUCACGAAGAAUUAAACAAAUAAAAAUAUUCAGACAUUUACGGAAGAGAGGUUUUACAGCAACUUGGAUUAAACCAAUAUGGAGGAAUUCAAAAUCCUUCUUAUAUUUAUCAAUAUUGGUAGCAACUAGCAGUUUGAUAGUAUUUAAAUAAUUAUUUAUAACAGAGGUUGACUCACAAGUCUUGAAUAGUAUUUCUUAAACAAAUUAGAAUAACCUAUUUGGUAAAUCUUUUAAAAAGGUUCUUUGGGAAUAGACCAAUUUUGCAAUCUUUUUUUUUCUUUAAAGAUAGAAAUAUUAACGUUAUUUACAAUAUGAUUAUUCAUAAUUAUACAAAUAUUGUCAUUAGGCUAGAGACAAGUCACUGAUUACCAUCAAGAGAAGAUAAUAUUAACAGAGAUUAAUAUGAUUAUGUGAACAUGAAUAUUGGUAAAAGAAAUUAAUUGAACUGUAGCAAGGAUCAUCAGAUUCAUCUAAGAAUUAAAUGUGAUGUAAACAAAUAAAUUGGCUUUGGAUAUUACUCAUUCUGUGGCAAGUCAUGUUGCAGGAUGGAACACCAAAAGAUAUUUUGCGUACCCUUUAGUUCUUACGGACUUACAAGAUCUAGUUUCAGGCUUACCUAGUCCUUAAACUGGAGAUUAUUCGGUAUACUCAGAAUUAUGCAGAGAAGAAACCUUAGCCUUUAACUUGUUUUAAUCAGAGUUAAUAACAAGAUGAAAAAUAAUAAUCACUAAGUCAAAAUUUUAUAAUUUGUUUUAACCAACAUUAAUAGAAACAUAAUCAGUAUAGUAACUAAGUUAACAUUAUUUUAUCUAGAUACAAUCAUAUGGCUUCUAAAUGCCCAGACAACAACACAAUUAGCUAUGCUAAUGGCGUUAAUCUUUAGUACCUUAGCACCUAAAAUAAAUAUGGCCAGAGAAAGUGGAUUACCUUGCUUGAGACCUCUGGAGGAGCGAAAGAAACCAUAUCUCUUACCAUUGACAAUGAUUGAGUACCACCAACUAUUAGCCAUUAUUUUCCACACCAUAUCAAUAAUACCUCAACAAAUACCAUUUUCCUCACCACCCGGCAUUUAAUAUAUGACCAAAAGACCCUAUCAUAAGCUUUUGUCAUGUCUAGUUUAAUGAUGACAUUGCUACCAAUAUUGGAUUUGUUGAUUUGGUAAAGGAUUUACUGAGCAAGCAAGAUGUUCUUAGAAAUACUUCUACUUUUGAAAAACCCGGAUUGGUUAGCAGAGAGUUAAAGCAGGGAGGAUAGGGCUAAGUAUGUUGCACAUUAAUUUAGAAAUUAUCUUGCUAGUGAUGUUACUCCGACUUAUAAGCCUAUACUCCGUCAUCUUGUUAGGAUUAUUCCCUUUAGGGAGCAGCACAAUACAAGAAUGGGAGAAGUAUUUAGUAAUCAUCUGUCCACUGAAAAAGGCCUGUACAACUCCCAUUAGAUCAUUCAUGAUAAUAUGCCAACAUUUUUGAAAGACGAACCCAUUCAUUCCAUCAGGACCUACUGCAUAAUUAGGAUUCAUAGAGAAAACCACUUGUUUAAGUUCAUCCAUACUAGGAUCACUGGUAAGCUAAUUCUGGUCUUUAUUAAUAAUCCUUGGAAUGCAUUCCAAGGUAUGCUCAUUGUUAAGCUUUUCUUCACCAGUAAAAAUUUCUUUGAAGUGCUCAGAAGCUACCUGAGCAAUGUUGUCAUCACCUUGUAUCCAGUCUCAAUUUUCAUUGAGAACUUUAUAAAUAAAUAAGUUCCAUCUACUUCCCCUUAUCACAGAAUGGAAGUAUUUAGAGUUAGUAUCACCCUCCUUAAUCCAUUGAAGAUGUGUUUUUUUUACAAUUUGUGUUCCAUCUUUAGAAACUUGAUGUACUUUGCAUUAUUUUCAUGGAGGAUGCUUUUAUUUAAGUAACUUUGGUUAGUGAUGUAGUUUUUUUCUGCAAUGUGCACUUGUUCCUCAUACAUCCUAACCUUUUGUAAAAUAUGACCAAAUUCUUUCUUAGACCAACCACUAAGAGUUUUUGACAGCCUUUUCAUUUUUUGGUGAAAUCUCCACAUACCUGUACCUGCUACUUCCCUCUCCUAGCAGGUUUUUACUAUUUCCAUGAAUUGAGGAUUUUCCACCCAACAGUUGAGAUAUCUGAAAUACUUGAUGUGAUCAGUAGAUGUGGAAACCAUUUCCAUAAGAAGAGGUCAGUGAUCAAACCCAAUAGAUGACUAGUGAGUUAUAGUGGUUUGAGGCAUCUUUGUCAACCAAGAAUCAUUUACCAUAGCCCUGUCAAGCUUCUUCCAGAUUCUGUGAUUAAUACCUCUCUUGUUGGACAAAGUGAAUUUUUUACCACUAAAACCAAUGUCCAAAAAGCCACAGGCUUCAAUGACAGCAAUAAAAUCCAUACUUUUCCUUAUGUUAUAAGGCACCUCUCCGUGUUUUUCCUCCACAGAGGUUAUACAUUGAAAUAACCAACAACACACCAAGGUUUAUCAUUCAAAGUAGCUUGCUAAAUUAUUUUGUCCCAAAGAGUUCUUCAGAGGUGAUAUUUGCAUUUAGCAUAGACAAAGGUACUAGUGAAUUGAUAUUGUAAUUCAUUGUGUUUCAUGUUGCAAGUGAUUUGUUGUUCAUCUUCAUCAAGAAUAUUACAGUCAAUGUCACUGCUCCAGAAAACCCGAAUCUUACCAUUACAAUUACUAGUAGCAUAUUCCAUGCUUAAUUGAACCUUAAAGCUUUGAACGUGCACAUUAUCAGAGAAAGGUUCCAAAAUAGUGAUAAUAGAUAAAUGGUGCAGCUUCCUGAGCAUCUUGAGUCUCUCUAAUACUAUUUGAGUGUUGAUCCCUCUAACAUUCCAUAUGUUUGUACUAAUCAUUGGGAAGAUCUAGAGUAAAAGAAUCUAGUAUUAGGUAUUCCAGCAGUGACACUAUUAACAUCUUGUUUUUUGAAGUGGAAUUUGUCAUGUUGAAAACCCCUUGGAGAUAGCCCCUGACUUUGAGUUACUUGUUGGGUUUCAUUCUCUACUAUCUGAUUAUUAUGAGGAAUAUAAGCCUUAAUAAGGGCCUCACUAGUCUCAUCAUCAUCAUCAGGCUCUUCUAGAAAUUGAUUAUCCCCAUCAAGUUCAUCUUCAAAAUUAUCCACAACAUAUUCAUCCCAUGUAGGCAUUGUAUUAAAUUUACACUUUUGUUGUCUCAGAUCAUGAGUAUAUGCUCUUGGAGGAAUCAUAUACUGAGCCUGUAAGGGAAGAAUAUCCACCCCAUGGUUAGCAUUCACCAUGAUAAGUAUGUUACAUAAUUUUUCCCUUCUUUCCUGUUCCUGUCCACUGUCCCUGUCUUGCUACCUGUUCUGCCUCCUUUUUGCAGCACCUCUUUUUUUUGCUAAGCUUAUUCUUACUCUUAGUUGUGCUGCCAGGAGUAUGUGUAUCACUUUUUCCCCUUUAUAUUUAUCAUUCCUUUUUUCAGAUUGUUGUUCUCUUUAUUUUCCUUGGCAGUCUAUUUGUUGGUGUCUCUAUUCUGCACUGCUGCUGAAUUUGUUGUUGUUCCCCUUGUUGUUGUCUGUUCUUAGUUCUAUUAUAGGCUCUAUGGUAUGUUAUAGGUUGAAAAUCCAACCCCUCAUGCAUAACAUGAGGCAAAUUCCCCCCUUUGGUAGCCCUAUCCUGCAAAUUGUGGCUAUCUCCUGAUACCCCCCAUCCAUACCUCCAAAAACUUCUUCAGUAUAACAAGCAUCAUUAUUAAUAAUAUUGGGGGUUUCGGGACUUGGGAGGAUUUAGUUAAUACAUGUGCUCUUGUACUUGUUGGCUGUAGUAGCUUGUUGGUUUUGUACGUUAUGAAUGCUAAGGUUGUUCCUUACAGAUGAGCCCUUAGUAGUCCCAUUUUUUGGUUGGUGUGCCUGCUCUGCUUCUUGCCUGGACUUUCCUUCUCCUGUUUGAUUUACCUCCUGCUGUUCUGCAUAUCAAGGUUAGCAAAAAUAUUUUGAGUCUGAAAUUUAGUUAUACCUGUUGUUUCCUGCUGCUGUUGGUGGCUGCUACUGCUUCUUUGUUUUGGAGGUGAGACAGGUCUCCAAACUACCUUGGAGGUGAUUUGAUCUUGAUUUUUUUGUUGCCUCUUUUUUUGUGUACGCCAUUGUUCCUCUUGUUGAUUCCUUGAUUGAUUGUGAAUAGCAGCCUGCUUGAGUUCUUCCUUUUGACUUAUAUUAUGUUGAUUUUGAGUUCUUGCAAUGAACUUAGAGUUACUUGUGUCAUGUCCUUCAAUCUUGAACUAACCCCCCUAUUCUUGAUAUUCCUUGGAUUUUCUUUCAGUUUCCUGUUCCUUCUUUUUCUUGAUUUCUUCAUCCCUCCUCUUAAUUGUACACUCCUCUUCCAUAUGCCCCUGGUGCUUGCAGUACAUGCAGUUCAACUUUUAACCACCUUCCUUUAUUGGGGUUAGAGGUUUUGCAACCCAACCAAACAAAGGAAGGUCUAGUUUUGGUAAGAUCCACUUGAACUUUGACUCUAAGUGUGCUACCUCCAGUUCUUUGAGAGGAUGGUGAGUCUAAGAAUAACACCUUCACAAUUGAACUAAGAAUAGUUGUUAACAACACUUUCUUAUAGCAAUGCCAAGGCAAACCAGGGAUAGCAACCCAAAUUGGGACAAUGGAAGUCUCUUCUUAAGGGGUGAAAUCAGGAGUCCAUGUCUGUAUCCUCAUUACUUGGCCUUCAAUGUUCAUCCUAAGAUUUGUCCAAACAAAUCAAACUCAUUGUCAAGGUCAAUGUAAACAUUCCUAGAGUGUGUGUUUUUCAAACCCCUCUAUGAGUUGAGUUUGGAGUAUGAAACUUUUCCUAACUAACUCCAUUUUAGGCAUUGUAUUAGUAAAUUUGCCCACCAGUGUGUACUUACACACCUCAACCAACUUUACAUAGUAAUCAUCCUCCUCAAGAAGCACAGUCGGGAAUCAUUACCUAUGUGUAUGUAUAGGAUCAUUCAAAACUAUAGGCAUUUCAUUCAUAGCUUGGUUAUACCUUAAUCUUGCAGCAAAUGAUUGCACAAAAGUAAAAAAGAUGACUCAAAGAUUUUAUAAAGCUUAGAGAUAUUGCUAGAAUAUUUACUAUGCAGCUGAUUAUAUAUACGAGCGUUGACCUUCAUUAUUUCCUUGCUUAGUAAUUUUGUCAAUUUGAGUGACAGGCUUAUACAUUGUGUAGUUAUUGGAUAUCUUGGGGAACUUGCUUUGGUAAUCCAUUUGAGCUUGAUUGGUUGGAUUUGAUGGAUUAGUUCCACCUUGCACCUUAGCCUGUUCUUUUUGCCUUCCCUCUUUUCCUUGACUCUUUUCAGUGGCCUUUUUGGCUCCUUCAAACAUAUUUUGCGCAUUCUUCCCAAUCUGCACUUCCAUGUCUUAUUGUUUAAGUUUUUGACUUGAAGGCUCCUGGCAUUGUAGUUCAUUAUUAGCAGUUUCCCCACCUUCGUCAUUUUUGUUUGUUGUACCUUGUAAAUUACCUUUCGAACUCUAUUUUGAUCAUGGGGUUUUGGGUUAAUGGGUUAGGGUUAAUUUUAGGGUUAGGGUUAAGGAAUAAGUCUUAUUAGGUUUUUGGGUUUGUGGUUAAGGAUUUGAGGUUUAAAAUCUAUUGUUUAGUGUUUAAUGUUUGGAUUUUCGUAAUAUGGACUUAGGGUUUAGGGUUAAAGAUUUACGAUUAGGGUUAGAGUUAGGAUUAAGGUUAGAGUGUAAUUUUUUUUAGGUUUUAUGGUUCUUGUUUUAGCAAUUAAGGUUUAAAACAUAAAUUUUAGUACAUGAUGUUUGGGUUUUCGUAUUUUGGGCUUAUGGAUUUGGGUUUAAUUGCUUAGGAUUAGGGUGAGGGUUAGGGUUUUUUUGGUUUUUGGGUAUAGGGUUUAUUAUUGAGGUUUAACGUCAAUGGUUUAGUGUUUGAUGUUUUCGUUUUUGUAUUUUGGUCUUGGGUUUUAGGGUUUAUGGUAGGAUUAAGUUUAGGGUUAGUGUUUAGGUUUUUUUUAGGUAUUAGGGUUUGGGGUUAAGGAUUUGAGUUGUAAUAUCUAUGGUUUAGUGUUAAAUGUUAGGGUUUUGGUAUUUUGGACUUUUGGUUUAGGGUUUAGGGUUUAGGGAUUUGGGUUAGGGUUCGUGUUAGGGAUAGGGUUUAUGGGUUCUUGAGGUUUUAGGUUUUGAGGUUUAGGAUUUUUUGUUUCAAAUCUAUGGUUUAGUGUUUAAUGUUCAGAUUUUUGUAUUUUGGGCUUGGGGUUUUGGGUUAAUGGCUUAGGGUUAGGGUGUGGGUGUGGGUUCGCUUUUAAAUCUUUUUAAGGUUUUAGGGUUUAUGGUUUAGGAUAAGAAGUUGAAAAAUAUAUUGUUUAUUGUUUAAUUUUUGGGUUUUUGUAUUUUUGACUUAGUUUUUUUAACAUAGGUUUAGGGUUCACGUAUACAGUUAGGGUUAGGAUUAAGGAUAGGGUGUUGGUUUUUUUAGAUUUUAUGGUUCAGGGUUUAGCAUUUUGAGGUUUAAAAUCAAUGGUUAAUAUUUAAUAUUUGGGUUUUGUUAUUUUGGGUUUUUUUUUUGGGAUUAGGGUUUUAGUUUUAUGGUUUAGGGUUAGGGUUAGCAUUAAGGUUAGGGUUAUUGUUUAGGGUUAGGGUUAUCAUUAAGGUUAGUGUUAUUGUUAGGGUUAAUGUUUUGGGAUUUUUUACGUUUUUGGUUUAAGGGUGUAGGAUUUGAGGUUUAAUAUCAAUGGUUUAGUCUUUAAUGUUUGGAUUUUGGUAUUGUGAACUUGGGGUUUAGGAUUUAUGUUAGGGUUAGGGUUAAGGUUAGGGUAAGGGUUUAGGUUGUUUUUUAGGUUUUUAGGUUUGGGUUUAAGGAUUUGAGUUGUAAUAUUUAUUGUUUAGUGUUUAAUGUUAGGGUUUUGGUAUUUGGGCUUUGGGUUUAGGGUUUCAGAUUUAGGGUUAGGCUUAAGGAUAAAACUAGGUUAGGGUUUGUGUUAGGGAUAGGUUAAUGUUAUGCCUCGUAUUUUUUUUAUAUACGUAGUGCGCAUCGUGAUCUAGAAGACGUAAAGAAAUAUUAGGCAAGGAUGUUAUUUCCAAAUGUGAUAUUAAGUAUGAGUUGGCUAAUGUAAGUGCAAUUAAAUUUAAGUGAGGGAUUAAUUAGUGGCUAAUUUGGACUGAUUUAAUUCAAUGGGCCCCACCACUCGAGGCAAAAAAAUUAAAAAGGGAUCAGAUUGUGGGCUGGCCUUAGUGGACAGGUGUAGAGGGGGCUGCCUCCACUUCAUACUAUUAAAUGAGGUGGAGAAAUCCACUCCAUGCUAUAUAAAGUGCUGAAAUGCAUUGCUGCAUAUUAUCUUCUUCUUCACCACUUGUCUUAAGCAGCCAUGGAAAUGGAGAAACCAACCCUGCAACUCUUGGCCAGCAGCUGCAAAUAAUUUGGUUAGUAAUCUCCUUGUUUGGUGUGUUAAUUCUUUAGAAUACCCUUGUUAAUUAUCCAUUAAUUUUAAGAAGGGGGCGUGACCAGUAGCUUAGGAAGUUUGUUUUAGUUAUUGAAUGUACUAAGUAUGAAUGGAAACCAUAAUCGGAUUAUUAGUGGUGUCGUGUUGGUGCUUGGGCUGUUUUGAUUAAAGCAAACUGCAGGAAAAUUCUGUUUUGGCAUUAUGUAUAUGUUGAAUGUGAUUAUGAGUAUAUACUCCAAAGGAUGAAUAUGAUAAGGUAGAUGUGUUACGAAUUAUAAAACGAGUUAUCACUCGGUGUGUCGUUGCUUCGCUGAUAUAGUUGCCGACAUGGAACUGUUUUGGGGAGGAGGCUGUUUAAUAUGAUUCUUUGGGUUAUAUGUGUUAUUGGUAUUGCUGUGGAUAAUUUGGAUUGUUGUCGGAUUGGGACGAAGUAAGGAAAAUAGGGGAGGUGCUGCCGAAUUUUCGUUAGAUUAUUAGCUAGCUUACAAGAAAGUAAAGCACGAUGUUUAUAUAAUUGCGGCACGAUUGUUGCUUGUUAUAGAUUAAUAGCUUGAGCAGUAAAUAUUGGACGUGCGGCUCGAUUAUACGGUAUGUAACGUUGUCCCUUCUUUCUUUGCUUGGCAUGACUUUUAAAAAUAAGCGAAUAACGGACAGAUUUGACACUUACCUCUAAAGCGUCUAGGUGAUGUAUAUUCUUGCUUCCACAAUUAUUCCUCUAUAUAUCGGUUAUAUCUAAGGCUAUGAUGAUCUCUAAUAUCUAUGGUAAUGCUUCUUAGAGUCAUUGAAAUUUUACGUUUUCAUAUCGUAUUAAAGGUUCAUAAUCUUUAUAAAACAUUAAUCUUUGGUAAUACUCCUUGCUGGUUCACGUUGAUUGUUCUAUUGAGUUAUAAGAAAUGAUUUUAAUUGCAUAUGGUUGCUCAUAAUAUUCUGCUCGUGCAUAGAGUCAUUUAUCAUUUCACCGAGUCCCGGGCCGGGUAAUGUUCAUGCGGAGUUUCUUGCAUGUCACCGAGUUCAUCACUAGAGGGCCGGGUAUGUAUAUUAUAUAUAUGAUUGGUGAUGAGGAUGGUUUUGAUGAUGAUGAUGACGGAGAUGACGUGAUGAUUAUUUUGCCGAGCCCCUUACUAGGGAAGUUGGGCACCUUAAAUGUUAAAUAUAUGCAUGAUUUUCACUUAAAAAGUAUAUGUGUAGUGAUAUUUUGUUUCGAGUUGCCACAUUGGUAUCCUGUCAUCUUUACCUUAUGCUUUACAUACUCAGUACAUUGUCCGUACUGACCCCCCUUUCCUCGGGGGGCUGCGUUUCAUGCCCGCAGGUGUAGACGCACAGUUCGGUGAUCCUCUCGCCUAGGAUAUCUACUCUGCUGAUUGGGAGAGCUCCACUGUUCCGGAGCCCAGUCGUUUUGGUACAUAACUUUUGUGUAGUCUUUUGCUCAUCUAUGGGUAUGGCGGGGCCCUGUCCCGUCGAGUUUCACUAAUGUACUCUUAGAGGUCUGUGGACAUUAUGUGGGUUUUAUAUAUAUGUUUUGGAUAAUGGUCUGGACAUGGUUUGUUUGGGAUGUCCGCUUGUACAGGGGCAGCCUUGUCGGCUGCGUACAUCAUUAUGCUUUGAAUAGUGGCGGCCUUGUCGGCUCGCGUAUGCUGUUAUGGUUGAAUGGUUAUGACUCCUUAUGAGACAGGUCCUCUUAUAUAUAUAUAUGACGUUGGGGUUGGCUUGAUUUGAUUAAAUUCCAUAUUGUCUUAGUUCCAGUUGGUCAUACUUAGCAGGUUUGUAUGUGGGUGUCCAAAACGGGCACUAAUCACGACCUAUCGGGUUGGGUCGUGACAAAGACUGGUAUCAGAGCGGUUCUUCGUCGGAAGUGUCUACAGACCGUGUCUAGUAGAGUCUUGUUUAUCGGUGUGUUGUGCACCACAUCUAUAAACAGGAAGCUACAGGACAUUUAGGAUGUCAUUCUUUCUUCUUAUUCUAGAUCGUGCGAUAGAGCUAUAUUAACAGGAUAAUCCCUCUCUAACAAAUCCGUGUGUUUUCAGCUAUGCCUCCAAAGAAAACGACAGCCGCCCAGAAGGGAAAAUCGGUAGCAGAAGGUACUAGUCAGACCCGGAGAGUUACUAGGGCCCGUGCCCAGUCUAUGCCUGGUAUUAUGCUCCAGUCGGAGAGCUCUGCUACACCCCCACCGCCAGAAGAGCUUAGAGCAGCAGCAGCUCCAGUUCGGGGGACACCACCAGCCCCCGAGGCCCCAACAUCUGAACCUCCAGCUCCUCAGUCAGGGGCGGAGGAUAGGGCCAUGAGAGAUGUGGUUCAAUUGCUGACUAGAUUAGUGGAAGAUCAAGCUCGCAGGCAUGGACUAGGAGUUGAUCAUGCGGACAGAUCUGAUAGCUUAAGGGCUCGUUACUUCUUAAGUUGUAAUCCUCCAGAGUUCUUUGGGUCAAGGCCACAGGAUGAUCCGCAAGAGUUUAUUCGUCAGAUACAGCGUACAUUGAGGAUAAUCAAGGCUUCGGAGACCGAGUCUGUAGAGUUGGCUACGUAUCAUUUGCGGGAUGUAGCUAUUAAUUGGUAUGAGUCUUGGGAGUUAUCUAGGGGUGAGGGUGCCCCUCCAGCGGUAUGGGAUGAAUUUGUGGAGGCUUUCCAGGGCCACUUCCUGCCUCCAGAAAUGAAGCGAGCUAGAGUCGAUAUAUUCUUGCGUUUGAAGCAAAAUGGCAGGAGCGUUCGAGAGUAUAGCCUCGAGUUUGAUUCAUUGGCUAGGCAUGCGCCUACUAUUGUGGCUGAUAUGGCAGACAGGGUACAUCGUUAUGUGAUGGGAUUGGAUCGUUAUCUGAUUGACGGUUGUAUGGCAGUGACUCUUCAGCCAGGUAUGGACAUUGCUCGGGUGCAGGCAUAUGCACAGGGGGUAGAGGAUCGGCACCGGGGACGUCAGCCAGAUAGAGAUUAUAAUAGAGGCCAGCAUAAGAGGGCUAGAUCAGCAGGUUAUCCUGACGAGUUUCAAAGCGGGCAGUCUCAGCAGCAUGUUAGAUUUUCUUCCCAGCCAGCACAGAGUGCACCCCCACGUUUCAUGGGUAGGGGGUUCGAUCGUAUGGGAUAUUCGGAACCUGGUCAGAGCUCUAGGGCGUCAGGGUCACAAAUGGGCAGGGGUUUGAGCCAGUCGAGGCCACCUUUGCCUCGGUGUUCUCGUUGUGGUAAGUCCCAUCCUGGAGAAUGUCAUUGGGCUACAGGUGCGUGUUUUUCUUGCGGCCGUCAGGGCCAUACUAUGAGGGAGUGUCACCUUAGAGGUAGUGCAGGUGGUAUGGCACAGCCUACAGGGUCCGUUGCUGGUUCAUCUUCUUCUGUGGCUAUGCGCCCUACGGGGCAGGGUAUUCAGGCACCAGCAGGCCGUGGUAGAGGACGUGGUGGAGCUUCCAGUUCUAGCGGUCCCUCAAACCGUAUAUAUGCUUUGACUAAUAGGCAAGAUCAAGAGACGUCACCUAAUGUGAUCACAGGUAUAUUAUCACUAUUCUCCCGAAGUGUGUAUGCAUUGAUAGACCCAGGUUCCACCUUAUCAUAUAUAUCUCCCUUUGUUGCUAGUAGGAUCGGAAUAGAGUCUGAGUUGAUAGAACCAUUUGAGGUAGCUACACCUGUAGGAGAUUUUGUCAUAGCUACGCGAGUAUAUAGGAAUUGUUCAGUAGCUAUAUAUAGUCGUCAUACCGUAGCAGAUCUAAUAGAGUUAAAUAUGAUUGAGUUUGAUAUUAUCAUGGGCAUGGAUUGGUUGGCUGCUUGUUAUGCUAAUGUUGAUUGCAGAGGAAAGAUAGUUCAAUUUCAAUUUCCAGGGGAACCGAUUAUAGAGUGGAAGGGAAGUACAGUAUCGCCGAAAGGUAAGUUCAUUUCGUACCUCAAGGCCGGGAAGAUGGUUAGAAAAGGCUAUAUUUACCAUCUGAUUCGGGUGCAUGACAUAAAGGCAGAGGCACCGACUCUUCAAUCAAUCCCGGUAGUUAAUGAAUUUCUUGAUGUAUUCCCCGAGGAACUUCUAGGACUUCCUCCAGAACGGGAGGUAAAGUUUACUAUAGAUGUGCUGCCAGAUACCCAGCCUAUAUCUAUACCUCCUUAUAGAAUGGCACCUGCUGAGUUGAAAGAAUUGAAAGAGCAAUUAAGGGAUUUGCUAGAAAAGGGCUUCAUCAGGCCUAUUACGUCACCUUGGGGAGCACCAGUACUGUUUGUGAGGAAGAAGGAUGGGUCGCUGCGGAUGUGCAUUAAUUAUAGGCAGUUGAACAAAGUUACAAUAAAGAACAGGUAUCCCCUCCCAAGGAUUGACGAUCUGUUUGACCAGUUGCAGGGUGCAAAGUGUUUUUCAAAGAUAGACUUGCGGUCAGGUUAUCAUCAGGUGCGGGUAAGGGAGGCAGAUAUUCCAAAGACAGCAUUCCGGACCCGAUAUGGGCAUUAUGAGUUUAGAGUGCUGUCUUUUGGGCUGACUAAUGCUCCAGCGGUGUUCAUGGAUUUAAUGAAUCGAGUAUUUAAACCAUUCCUUGAUAUGUUUGUUAUUGUAUUUAUAGACGAUAUUCUGGUCUAUUCACGUUCAGAAGAGGAGCAUGCAGAUCAUUUAAGGACGGUACUUAGGGUGCUUCAGCACCAGAAGUUGUAUGCUAAAUUUUCUAAGUGCGAGUUCUGGUUGACUUCAGUGGCAUUCUUGGGGCAUAUUAUUGGAGCUGAUGGUAUUCGGGUAGAUACGCAGAAGAUUGAGGCAGUAAAAACAUGGCCCAGACCUACGACACCUACUGAGGUACGAAGUUUUUUGGGGUUAGAAGGAUAUUACAGGAGAUUCGUAGAAUAGUUUGCCUCAAUUUCAGUGCCUUUGACAAGGCUAACUCAAAAUGCAGCCAAGUUCCAGUGGACAGAUGCUUGUGAGCGAAGCUUCCAGCUAUUGAAAGACAAAUUGACUACAGCUCCAGUCCUAACUCUUCAGAGGGACCAGACGGCUAUGUUAUUUAUUGUGAUGCUUCGGGUGUUGGGCUAGGAUGUGUAUUGAUGCAGCAUGGCAAAGUUAUAGCCUAUGCCUCCCGACAACUUAGGAAGCAUGAAAAGAACUAUCCUACUCACGAUCUGGAGUUAGCGGUCGUGGUUCAUGCCUUGAAGAUAUGGAGACAUUAUUUAUAUGGUGUCCAUGUGGACAUCUAUACAGAUCAUAAGAGUCUCCAAUAUAUCUUUAAACAGAAGGAGCUGAACUUACGACAGAGGCGGUGGUUAGAGUUGCUAAAGGAUUAUGAUGUUGAUAUUUUAUAUCAUUCAGGGAAAGCGAAUGUUGUAGCAGAUACUCUUAGCCGUAAGUCCAUGGGUAGCUUGACAGAUGUACAACCAGAAAGGAGGGAUAUGGUUCGGGAGAUUCAGCGGCUAUCCAGCCUUGGAGUCGUCUAGCUAAUUUGGAAGAUUGUGGAGUUUCUAUUCGAGAGGUUGCUGAGUCCUCAAUCAUAGAUGAGGUAAAGAGACACCAAUACAAGGACCCUAUUCUGGCACAGUAUAGAGAUGCAGCUCUUCAAAAGGAAAAGACCCCAUUUAAGGUUACACCUGAUGGAGUGUUACGAUAUGAAGGCAGAUUGUGUGUACCCGAUACUGCGGGGCUACGAUGGCAAGUUAUGGGAGAGGCACACUCUGCCCGUUAUUCUAUUCACCCAGGGUCAACAAAAAUGUAUCAUGACCUCAGAUGCAUAUAUUGGUGGGAUGGCAUGAAAAAGGACAUAGCAGAGUUUGUUGCUCAGUGCCCAAAUUGUCAACAAGUCAAGAUCGAACAUCAAAAGCCUGGUGGAUUAUUACAGGAGAUAGAGAUCCCGACUUGAAAAUGGGAGAUGAUUAAUAUGGACUUCAUUACAGGCUUACCUCGCACUCAACGGAAGUAUGACUCUAUAUGGGUUAUUGUAGAUAGGCUGACGAAAUCGGCCCAUUUUCUUCCAGUCAGGACUACUUAUUCGGCUGAAGAUUAUGCGAGGUUAUAUGUCAGGGAGAUAGUGAGACUUCAUGGGGUUCCCACGUCCAUUAUAUCAGACAGAGGAGCUCAAUUUGCAGCCAACUUUUGGAGAUCGUUUCAGAAGGGAUUGGGGACACAGGUGAACCUUAGCACAGCAUUUCACCCUCAGACUGAUGGGCAGGCUGAGCGUACUAUUCAGACACUAGAAGAUAUGUUGCGGGCCUAUAUUAUUUACUUCAAAGGUAGCUGGGAUGACCACUUGCAGCUCAUUGAGUUUGCCUAUAAUAAUAGCUACCAUUCUAGUAUCCAAAUGACACCGUACGAGGCCUUAUAUGGGAGGAAGUGCAGAUCACCUAUUGGUUGGUUUGAUGUUGGCGAGACUAAGUUAAUAGGCCCGGAUGUGAUUCAGCAAGCUGUUGACAAGGUGAAGCUUAUUCAAGAAAGAUUAUUAGCAGCCCAGAGUCGACAGAAGUCA
Molecule: long non-coding RNA, 76362 nt
Filed under: Solanum lycopersicum (tomato)
Lineage: Eukaryota; Viridiplantae; Streptophyta; Magnoliopsida; Solanales; Solanaceae
Description: long non-coding RNA (SLYC_LNC000511)
Source: RNAcentral